CACCGCCUGGUAGUCGGCGUGGAAGCGGUCAGCGAUGGUGGGGACGUCAUCGCCCCAGGUGAUGAGGUAUGUGAGCAAGUACUUGAUGCCGCUGCUGGUUUGUUCGGCGGUGGGGCAGGCGCAGCGGAGGGGAACAUCCACCCGGAGGCCGGCGGUGAGGUUGAGGCUGCCGUAAGGGUUCUGCGCUAUGAGGGCCUGGCAGGUGGAGAGGCCCUGGUAGGUAUCGUUGGCCACUAUGAAGUAGGUGUCCCUGGAGGUCAAGGUGUAGGAGACGUUGUGCUGGUAGUAGCCGCCGGAGCAGGAGCAGGGGACCGGCACGAGGACGAGUUGGUCGUUGGGGACGUUGGCGAACUCGGUAGCGACGCCGUUGAUGCGGGAGAUGUUGUCGGCGUCGGCGCCUAAUAGGUAUGCGAUCAGUACCGGCGACUGGUAGGCGAUCUGGGAUCGGAAAGUGAGGUAGGAGGAGCAGGAGCGGACGCCGUUGCAGGUGUAGCCCAGAGUGGAGGAGUCGGUGGUGGUGCAGUCGAGUUGCCUGUUGUUCUCGUACUGUUGCUGGGCGUUGCAGGAGACGAGACACAAGAGGACGAGGGCGAGGAAGAAAGCUAAUUGGGGAUCGGACCUCGUCGUCAUGGCCAUCCGACGGAUGAAUCCGACAGAUCUACUUCUUAUCCGAUCUGUGUUGGCAAGAGACGAAACCCCUCUAAAUCCCCUCUCCCAGAGAACCAAUUCAGGUAGGGAAGAAACCAAGAAGAGCGAUGAACAGAUCAGAACACGGAGAAGAAUCGGUGGUCUUCACUUCCGUUCUCGUCUUUGACUCGCUUUCUUUGACUAACGACGCAGUCAAUGAUAUAGAACUUGUUGACCGAGAUAUAUUUCAUUAGGAAGAACGUUGACGGAGCUGUUGCCGGGUUCUGGCUUCUGAACUCGUCUCUCUCUCAUGGCUUCUCUGACCUGAAAGACAUCAUUCCAAUGGCCGGCCUUGGCGUACAUGUGAGACAGGAGCAGGUAAUCGCUGCUAUGAUAGGGUUCCAGCUCCUCGAGGUGCUCCUGCACACGCUGACCCAAUUCGAGGUCCCCGUGGACUCGGCAUGCGCCCAGCAGCGUCCUCCAAACCACAGCAUUGCAUUCCAUCGGCAUGUUCCUGAUCACAUGGAAAGCUUCCCUCACCUGUCCUGAUCGCCCAAGAACGUCCACCAGGCAUCCGUAGUGCCUUAUGCUGGGAGAGAUGUUGUAGUCCCUCGUCAUUUUGUCGAAGUACCUCCGACCUUCUUCUACUAAACCUCCAUGGCUGCAGGCGCAGAGGACUCCCAGGAAUGUAAUGUCGUUUGGCUCUUCGAGUUCGCACCGACGCAUCCUUUCGAAGAGUGAUAUCGCUUCGGCCGCCCGCCCGUGCAUGGCUAGUCCCAGAAUCAAGGAGUUCCACGAGACCGUGUCUCUCUCCGUCAUAUCGUCGAAUACCUCGACGGCUCUGUCGAUCGCUCCGCACUUUGCAUACAUAUCGAUUAGAGAGUUGGUCACUCUGAGACGGCAACCAUGGGUGGAACUGCCGGCGAUGGAAUGCACCCAUCUGCCGAAGUCCAACGCUCCCAGCCUCGAACAUGCGGCAAGGAUUACCACCAACGUGGCCUUGUCCGGCCCGAGGAAGCUGGUCCUCAGCAUUCUCAGGAACAUCUUCAGCGCCUCGAGGUGCAGGCCGCAGUGCACGUACCCGGCGAUGAGACUGUUCCAUGACACCAGAUCUCUCUCGGACGAUUCUUCGAACACCUGCCGCGCGGCGACCAUGUCGUCGAAGAGAGCGUACGUGUGGAUGAGACUGUUGGAGACGAAGACAUGAGAAUCCACGCCGACCUUGAGCACGCAGCAGUGGACCUGCUUGCCCAACUCGACCGCCGACAACUGGCCGCAGAUAUUGAGUAGGAAAGAGAACGUGAAGUUAUCGGCGUUCUUCCCCUCCUCUCUCAUCCUUCGGUAGAAAAGGAACGCCUCCGCGGGUCUGUUGGCCCUCCCGAGCCCUCUGAUCAUGGUGUUCCAGAGGAACCCAUCCGGCCAGUUGAGCUGCCGGAAGACGGCGGACGCGUAGUCCAUGCAUCCCCUCUGCUCCGAGCUGGAGCAGAAGGAGAUGAGCCUGCCCACGACGAAGACAUGCUGCUCGAAGCCGGUCCGGACGAUCCGGGCAUGGACCUGACUCAGGUCCCGCAGGGUGGAGCAUGACUCCAGGAAGGAGAUGUGGCUCUGCUCCCUCUCGUGGAAACCAACCGCGGUGGAGUCGGAGGUCGGCGAGGUACGUGGAGGCUGGAAGAGAGCGACCGGCAGUCGCGUCGGAGAACCCAAGGAGAACCGCUUGAGCAGCAUGUGGUUACUCCGAGUCAUUACUAACUCGACUCGGGCGAUCCCAUCAUGAAUACAUGCUGGCGAACCCAAAGGAGGGCCUGUCGAGCAGCAUGUGGUGACUCCGAGUCAUUACUAACAAUUUAAUAUGAUACACGUAAAUGGUCACUUUGUAGUAAUCUAUCUUUGGAUCAUUUGUCACAUUCAAUAUUAGGAUGUUUUGACUAUUGUUUGUCAUGAUUUGAUAAGAUAAUUAAUUUAUUACAUCUGAAUUUAUUGAUCCAAAAUGUUUAAACUCAAACUAAUGGUAAUAGACUCAUUAAGUCUUGAUAAUCUAAUUCAAGUACUUGAUGUUUCUAUCGAAGACCUAAUAUAUUUUUAGAAAUAAAUGUUAGUAUGAUCGAUACGAGACAUAGUGCAAUCGUGACUUCAUGUUUGAUAUACUUUAUAAUACAACUUAUAAAUGGUUAUUUUUUACUUAAAUAUCUUGGUAAUACUAAAUCAAUAAUAAUAUCAUUUGUCACGAUGAACCUCAAUAAUAUAAUUACUUAGGUUGAAAUUAAUAAUAAUAGACUCGUGAUAUUAGUCGAGCAUAUCCUACAAAACGAAAAUAUUCACCAUUAGAAUAUCUAAAAAAAAUAUAUCGGUAUAUCGAAAAUCAAAUCUCUUUGAUAUGUGAUGGGCAAGACUAGAGGAAAAAAAAGGACAGACAGAAUGAGAAUAACGAAUGCCAUGUUAUGUUGGUGAGUAGUUCUCAUCAAGUCGUAAUCAUCUUUUAUCUUGAGCUGUUCUAAGUUGCCUAAUAAAUUUUAUGUUGGAAUUUGUACUGCAUUAUACAAUGCUUAGAAAAAUUGAGACAGGAAAUUUUGUUAGAGAAAUUAUAUUUAUGUCAGCUGUGUUGCAGAAUAAGGUUUAAUUUCUCUAUGGAUAUUUUAAUGAAGCUAUGUUGGCUUGUUGAAUCAACAAGAUUUUGACUGCAUAAUUUUUAUGUACAAAAAUUAUUCUAUAAUGCUCUAUUAGACGUACCAAAUUACAAGAUCCAAACCUAAAUGCUAUAUGUGUACCGUUGGACAAUAACUCAUUCUCUGGUUCCAAAAUCAUACUCACUUAAAUGUUUUUGAAGAUUUUUUUGAUCACACACGUGUUGUAUAUAUAUGAAUCUAUUACGAGUAUAAAAAUUAUAAUAUAUUAUUAUUGUUAUAUGAAAAAAAUUAAUAUCAAAAUAUGAAAUCAAAUAAUAAUAUAUCUAAAUUUACGAUACAUACCUUUCGAUGUUAUUCAGAAAACUUCUAUCUGAUCUGCGAGCGUACCAUUCGCCCUAUUUCGUGAUAAUCUUUUAAUCAUUUUACAUAUCCAAUCUCUUUUAUCUGUAUAUGUACGUACUAAUUAUUAUGUGUAUAGUCCAUUAAAGGUCUUAUUUAUUUAUAGACGAGGCAAAGGUUUGAUCGAUAACAGUAAUCAAAAUCUGAUCUAAUAAAUCUUAUCCAAUUAAAUAGGAUCGCAUAAUCUAACAUCUAUGCAUAUAAUAUCCAAAAUCUUCGCACAUAACAUUAGCUUAAGAGGCUUCAUGAACCAUUUUCAUUGUAAUCAUGCAUAGUUUGUGAUCCAAUUUGAUCAGAGAUUUAAUAGGUGAUAGCAUAUUUAGCAUAAUCUAAGCCUCUAAAAAAUUAAUACUUGGAAUGUACUCUUUGAACAGGUUGAUAUCAACUCAUUCCGAGUAGUAUGCUCAAAGUUAUAAUUAUGAUCAAUAAAUAUGUUUCUUCAUCAAUUGUAAAAACAGUUCUAACACAUAUUUAAGUUCAAUUCAAGUUCGACAUGUGAUCUUGAUGGCAAUUCAAAUUAAUUCCACAUGUGAGUUCUCUUGUUUCGGAACUUUGACUUCACUUCCGGCUGGUACCUUUUUUGGAAUGUAAUCUCUCCAUAGUAAUCAAAUGAUAUUUUUCCCUUUUCUAGAAAAAAGUUGAGUCAAAGCGUUAAAGAACAAGCAAUGUUCAUGUUUCGUAUUAAAGGAGUGGUCGUAUUCCAACUUUAGUUAAAGUAGUUGACUUUAGCUGUUAGUGAUGAAUGAUAUAGGGCUAUGUCCUAAUUCAUUUUCCUUCUGCAUCGACACUGCUUUAUAAUCGAUAGCUGUGUUUGUUGCUGUGACAGUGAGUGUGUCAUCUUUGUUGGAUGCCAUUGCUUGGUGUGGAGAAGAAUGAACCUUCCCUCACGUCAACCUGCCUGUGUUUGACUUUUCUCUGAGGAGCUGAGAAGAAUGAUAGGAAAAAGAAAACGGUACAAAAAAAGAGAAUAUAGCCAAUAAUUCUUCCUUCAUCUCCUCUUUGACGACGUCUCUGCUUUGCAUGAAAGCCGAGUCCACGUGCUUGAAAUCCAUUGCAUGGAAAAGGACAUCUCGCUCUCGCUCUCUCUCUCUCUCUGUGGCCUACACACACUGUGAUAAUAUUUGGCCGCCUACCUCCUGCUGAGAAAUGGUCUUUUGCGAGUCUUUGACUGCAAGAUGAUAGAGAAGCGUCUACAUCGUUGACUUAGAUCAAAGAUGCUAUUGUUGUGGACCGGGUGAGAACAGCAAGGACGGUAUAUAAACCGAGGGAAAGAUGGAUGCACCUUAGUCCACAGUUCCGUGUAUCUAUCUGAACAUCUUCCGCCCUCAUAAAUGGAAUGAGUCACACCGUGUGAGCUGAUUUGUAAGGUCUAAAGAAUGUGCUUGACGUCAAUUUCGGCUCGAUACGGGCCACUCUGGAUGAGCAGUCUCAGUUCAUAUGAGGUCGCUGACAUGCACGCAUUCCCUUAUUUGCAUGGCCUGCGUGUGAUGCACCCUUCGUUAUAUAGAGGGGGGAAGGGGGGAUAAGCAACCGUUCGUGUGAUAGGGAAGAUGGAGGAGAAGAAGACUGCACCACGUCAUGAAUCUGCAGUGCCUUCGGCUUGUAAUCAUCGCAUGGCGAUCCAAGACAUCAAUAGGGCGCAAGAGUUGCUGAGCCAACUACAUGCUGUUCUUCUGCAGUUGCAUCCUUCCAAUGGAGGGGAUAUGCUUGAGGAGAUACGAAAGUUCACAUCCUCGGCGCUCUCAAGGCUUCAGUCCUGUGUCUGUGGAUCGUCCGAUGCCUCUGAGGACUCCCAAAGAGACAUAUAUGUCAACGAUACGAGGAAGAGUUUGAAGAGAAGCUGGUAAUUCUAUUCUUCAUCUUGCAGUUUGAACUUCUCUUUGAAGUAAUUGAUCAUCGUAUUAAACUUUCCAUCGGAUUAAACUUGUUGCAGGAGCAAGCCGGAAACGUGGUCGAUAGCUACAACUUCCCCCUUUGACGACGGCCAUCAGUGGAGGAAGUACGGGCACAAAACUAUCAAGAACGCCAAGUAUCCAAAGUAAUCAUCUUCACCAGUAAACUCCCUUCAGCAAUUAAGGUUUUCCCAGUACAUUAAUUCUAGUUGUAAUGCAUGCUUCCAUGAACACAGGAACUACUACAGGUGCGUUUUCAGGGACAAGCAAGGAUGUUUAGCAAAGAAGACGGUACAACAAGAGGAUAGCUACGGCGAUCCUCCCAGGUUCAGCGUCCAGUACAGAGCGCCACAUACCUGCAAAACCAUCAAUGUCGCCUUCCCUUCUGUAAUGGAAUCUGCUCCAAAGGAACCCUCUGUUCAUGCCAGUGGUUCCAGAUGCACCUUGAAGCUUCAGGAGAAUCACCUUUCUCCCUUAGCCCACGCUGCAAUCGAGGCUCAGGAUGAAGGCUUGUGGAUCAGCGAUCAAGCACAAGACUGUGAGCUGCUCGGGUCGGAUAUGGUGGCCACAGAACCCUGGGACUUGGACAUGUUCCUGGAAGAUGAUGAUGGGUGGUACAAUAUUAAGGAUCCUUAAAAAUCUGUGCAAUUCUAACUUGUAAUCAGCCAAUAUAUAGUGUGGCAGUCCUUUCUCUGUAUCACAAGUUUAAGAUGCUCUAUGGAUUGUAGAAUGAAUAUGCUUGGUAAUCAUAUAUGUCUAUCAUGGCAUCAUCUUCUUCCUUGUGCUACUUUGAUUCUUGAGAAAAGUAAGCCAAUUAAGUAUAUCAAUGAGGAAACGAACUGUCUCUACUUAUGAAGAAACCAAAAGAGACGAUUACAAGCAAAAAGACAAUAGAAAUCUUAUGAAUUCAGAAAGCCAAUAGUGAAACAAGAGCUCAUGCAAGGAAGCCUCUCUUGAUCACCAGCAACUCCUCCACCAUCUUCUCCUUCUUCCUUUCGUCCGCGGUCUCUCGGCCGCCGUCCCAGUUGUUCGAAGCAGGAAGUAUAACGGACUCCCUCUGGGCCUUGACAAGCCUCCCCAGCUGCUCCUCACUCACCCCGAAGGCUGUCGCCAGCUCCGGCCCACUCAUGCUCCGAAGCACUGAGCUCGCACCGGCGAGGAACUGCGGAUGAUUUCUCUUGGAGGAUGUUGUGAAGCCAAAGAACUCCAUCGGCCCUCCGCGGGACGCGACCUGGCAGAAAGGGUGGUAGCGCGGGAUCCAGAACACGUCGCCCUCCGACACCUCGGCGUUCAUUGCGGUCGAACCAUUCGGGUAGACCACCUCAAUGCUACCGGAGCCGCUCAGAAUGACGCCGUACUCGGUGGCCACUGGGUUGAAGUGUGGCGCCAUCAUCGAUCCCUGCAAUAGAUCAUAUAAAUUCGACCGCAGUUGACUAAAGGAAACAAUCUGUCCAACUUCCGUAGUUCAAGUUUUCACAGAUUAACAAGUGCGACCACUGACCGCAGUGAGGUUGACCAGAUAGACGCCAACGCCGCAGCUACUGAGAAGGGAAUAGUCAUGCUCGUCAAUGGCGGUACUCCAUCCAUAGCUAUUCUGAAAGCUCGGCUCGUUGUUGUAAAGGUUGAACGCGUACGGGGCGUGGUGGGAUUCAGUCGAUCUUGCUUUCUCGCGACCACUCCUGCCAAAUAAAUAGUCGAGGAGAUUCUUCCGUGUCCAUGUGGUGGCUGCCUCCUCGUCAUCGUUGUUGGGAUCCAACUCUUCCUCUUGCUGACCACUGAAGUGAACGAUCGGACCACCACUUUGUCUCCGCAUCAUUGGACGCAGUUGAUCAGAGGUGAUCUGUGAGGAUCCAAGAACUCAAAUGUAAUUUGAAGAGAUUCGACUCGUCUAAAAUUGAAUCUUAUAUCAUGUACAAAUGAAUUGUGUUACGUUGAAUGCAUUUGCGAGUGUGUUGACAUCGAAUCCAGCAAGCACUGAGGUUGGAUUUGUUCCACCGCCGAUGAAGAACGACUGCCAAGUAGACAUCAACUAAGCAUGAAACUCUUGGAUCCAUGGUAUCAGAACAAGAAUAGAAGGCCACUCACUUGUUGCGAAUUGUAUGUCAAACUCUGGGAAGUGUCGAUGCCACAAACCAUGUGUGACCUCUCCGAGUUAGUGUUCGCGAUGUAGAAGGGUGAUCCGGCAGGGAUCACGUUGAUGUCCCCUCUCUUGAGCUUUCUCUGCACCAACUCGUCCUUGUGAAUCCACCCAGCCUCCACCUCACCUUCAUAUACAUGAUCACAAAAUCAUUCCACGAGUAAACGUAUUACCAGUUCAUGACUGCAGAGAGAGGCUUACCUUCACGUACGAAUUGGAUGAGAUUGGCGUCGACGUAUUGGGGAAGGAAGAGGCUGUUGGGCUCCAGGCGCAGGAAACCGAUGUGCAUGGUGCUUGGAUGACCCUUCCACCGAUCACCGGACACGACCCUAACUUGGCCGGCCUCAGUCCUCACAGCCCUCCUCGUCCUCCCCAGUAUGAAGCGACCUCGACCAGUAGCGUCUUCUCCGCACUCUCUAACUUUCUCUGCCUCUUCUCUCUCUGUUCCUCUUUCUUGGUGUCCGCUCGCCGGCACCGAGAAGAGCAGCAGCAGCGUCAGAAGGGCCACCACCGCCCGGUCUCCCACAGCGACCGCCAUUUCCAAGGGCUUAUUCCUCUUCAGCCUUUCUUCCCUGCUAGUCCAAAUGGGAAUGAGGUGAGAGGAAUGCGAUGGCCGUGAGGGUUUUAAAGGGCGGAGAGAAUAGUGUGGUGUCGACACGUCGCUCUUUUAUGCUUCGGAAGGUCUGGGUUUACGUGGAGAUCGACCAACACGACUUUACGAGUUCACGGAGAGAUCUACUGAAAUGACUAUUGACUGCUUCAUCGGUGUUUAUUAUUAUUAUUAUUAAUUUAACCAUUUUAACUCAGUGAAUCAGACUCAACAAAUUAAUUAUCUGAUCAUUUAUCCCAUCAUAUCGAAUCAUAAUAAAUUAAUUUAAAUUUUAUCAUUUUAAAUUAUAUCUAUUUAACCUAAAAAUUUAUAACCCAAAAUAUAUAAAAUAAUUAUCAGAAAUAGUUUACAUGAACAAAUUGGACUGGGAGUCCAUAGAUCAGCGAACCAAGGGCCUGCUUUAGGCCGGCGUUAGCCCACCAUAUCCACCACCACCACUGCACGAGCCGACCGGCGGGAUCGGUUCUCCUCCUCGGCUCCAUUUCCGGUGCCAUGAUCGAGCAACAACCGCCGGCAAGUUGGGCAGGAAGAGUGCGAAGCAAGCCACUUGUCGAUGCACUCGACGUGGAACACAUGGCGGCACAUGGGCAGCACCCGGACCUUCUCGCCGUCGGCGAACUCCCCCAGGCAUAUCGGGCAAUCGGUGGCCGGGAUGUCAGCUCCCAAGGCGUACACCGCCUCUGGGAGGCGGCGGAGCGACUGCUUGUUGAGCCUGGUCGCAGCGAGCCUCGCAGCGGCCUGCUCGGGGGUCUCCAAGGCCAGCACCGCCCGCACCGGAGCGCGCACCGCACCAUGGAGUUCAGCCCGAGCACGAGUAUUAGAGCGCAGAGGAGUGCCACGAUGACGAUAACCAUGCCGGCGUCGUAACCGGCAUUGCCGCCGCCGUUCAUGACGGCGUGCGGCCUGCUUCCGUUGACCCCCGGCGGUGUCUCGGGGAGUGCACCGAGCAGCCUAUGCAUGGAUUCUACCAGGUACUUGUCAGAGUUUGCUUUGUGCCAGUGGCGGCAAAAGGAACAGUGAAGAGAAAAUGAGAGCGAUCACAGAUCUCGGAACUCCUCUUACCAGAACUCGCUGCCACCAAUAACUACUCAACAUAUGUUGCUUUGUCUUCUCAGCUUCGGAAGAGAAGAUUCUUCACAUCCUUACAACCUUAGACUUGCAUGAAAUGGGCGAAGUGGAGGAGCAACUGAGAUUUCCAUUUGGAUGGAUUCAGAGACAUGGAAACAUAUUCACACUGCUUUGGAAGAGAUUGGCUUCUCUCUUUUGAUAUAACUACAGCACAUUGUAAAAGAGAUUCUCUUGUUGAAAAGGACAGUAAUCUUGAGAAGGCAUGAGGAUCUUAAUCAAUGAAUUGAUGUACCACCUAAGAACCCACCUAAUCAUCAUAGUCUAAAGCAUCCAAAACCUCUUGCUUAAGCUUUCAUUUAAUAGCGAAACAGUUGUAGUUCUUAACAAUGGGUUGCUUUGCCUCACAGAAGACUCAGGCAAGCUCUAAUUGGUCACUGCUGUCCUUUUGCGUGACAUGAAUAGGGGUGAACGAUGUUUCUGCUUGGAGUUAGAUACUUCUCUUCUCGUCUAAUGCGUCCUUGUCCAUGUCUAUCUUAGAGUCCAUAUGCAUGAAUGGAGAUGAUUCAUUUUAGAAAGCUUGAGCAAUCAUUCCACUUUGCACCUACCUCUUCAUUCCUUCAGAAGCAUGAUUUCAUCAAGCACACCGCGAAUUAUAUGCCAUGGCUGUUGGCAUGUCCUUCUCCUCUGUUCUUCUUUUAUGGGUUUUGUUGAAUAAAGAAAGGCAAUUAGGAUGUCAUCUUGCAACCUUACUUCAAUUUGUGUCUUUGUGGCUGUGUUGACUAUUGACGAUAUAUAUUUUGAAGACAUGAUUGCAACCUUGCCCUGCUUCAUGAUGUUAACAUAUCAUCUAUAGGAAGACAGGGGAAGAAAGAAUUUGCUGUUGCUUGACGUGUUAAGCAACGACUCUGCGAUGGGGAAGAAGACACAGUUACUCUCAAGUCUCAAGGUCCGAAAAGGAUGAGUUCGACUGCGGCUCGAACUCCAUCAUCCAUACCAAAACACUCACUCACACUUUUGACUGCGUGUGCAUCACGGCACACGUCUAUGACACUUCCAGCUAAAAAACACUUGAAGCCUUAUGUGGGCUUCAAGUUUUGGAACAUAGAAUCCCACCUCGUGGCUCCAUCUGCAGUCUCCCAGCACCCAUCAGCAGCAGCAGCAUUGCUGUUCUCACGACGACUGCGGCCCAUCGGGGUACCGCUGUGAGAUCGAGAAGGCAGAUCUGCGAUUCUCAUGCCGCGAUCAGUGAUCAUCAGCCUGCCCUGCUUCAGGAUCACCAGCUUCGUCUUCCUCCUCGACGUGGCCCCUCUCCAGCAGUCGCCGCACGCAGUCUUCGGCACGACCAAGAUCGCCGGACCGUCAGAACGAGCCAAGGUGCGGAUGUACUUCGCGAGGCGAGUCUUGGACUUCCUGAUGACCGUGGCAAGCUUGGCGACGGGAAGAGGAGACGCCCUCCUACUGUUCUUAGCGAGUUUGAGGAUCUCCAGCCGGUGCUUUGCGAUGGAGACGCCCAUGCUCUGUAGGAAGUCGUGGUCGAAGUGUGCUAUAUCGUCCUCCUCGAGCUCGUUGUUCAUGAACAGAAGCCCAUAGUCGUAAACAAGGGAUGGCUCGAGGCACGAUUUGGAUAGCCAUGAGUGCCAGUCCAUGGUUCUGUGCUCCAUUGAAGUAGUGCUAGCCUAAUGGAUUUAUAGGAAAUCAGAGGAGGAACUAAGAGAUCGAGAUCAGAUGUCAGGGUGAGGACACUACCAAUAUUCAAGGUUAAGGUCAUGAUGCUCUUGUAGCUCUUUCUGAGGCUUCCCCAGCGCAGCAGAGAAUCAUCAUGUGUAGUAUGCUUGAAGUUUAAGGUAUCACCUUUCUUCUGAGGAUAACAACAGAUCAUAAGCUUCAAAAACUUCAGUUGGCAUGAACGAUGCCAACAGCAGUGUGUUGAGCAGAGUGAGAUAGAAGCUCCCAACGCGGCAUAGGAAAAGUGGGUGUUGUGGGUCCCCGUUGACUAAAGGUCAACAAUUAUAAAAGUUGGCUAAUUUAAGAAAAGAAAGGCUAAAAAUUGUAUCCAACGAAUUAGAGAACGUAAAUGAACAUUAAUAAUAAGAAAACUCAAUUCGAGACUCACCCAAGGUUUCCAAUGCUAAACUAUGCGGGUCCCCCAACUAGAAUCCAAUCAUCAAACAGGAAGGUGUGAGAGAGUCCGAUACAUCCACGUGGGAGAGUAGUUACGUAGCAAACAAUAAUGAACUCGCAGCGCAACUCAAAACUCAGCAAGCAGGUAGUCGAUUCGAUACGCACAUCUGUUGUUUACAUUCGACCGUUGAUCUACGACGUUUCUCCACACCCAACAGGAUUUUAAAUACAAUUUUCACGUCAUGUUGCACCGGAUCGGGAUCAUGUUAAGUUAGGUCACUUUCCGAGGUUUCUCGAUCGACGGAUCUCUCGGCUUCGAUUUGGCCCAUCGAUCUUCGUUCGUGGUGAGAUUCGAUGGAAAUGAUCAGGAGAGCUCAAUCGGUUUGAAUAGUGAGGACCGUCUUACAAGAACAGGUUGCAUUUGGUGAUGUCGACUUUAAGAAUUAGAUUCGGUAGAUUUGUUUGUCUAGUUGGAUCCAAACCUCGCGUAAACAAUUGAAGUGAUGGGUGCAUGUCACCGACUCAUGAGCCCGAUCAGAUGAGCCCGGCCCAUUUACUUCGUCCAUUCUGUUGCAGGAUUUAUUUGGUAGCCGCCUUUGAUUGGGAAUUAGGGUUGUCUGGUCGCAGUCGCGGGCGAGGUGGAGCGAUUUGGGAAGGCGCUGCUCUCGGCUCUCUUUCCUGCGCGUAGCGGACCGCUUCGAAGCGGUCUCUCUCGGUUCUCCUUCCUGCACCACUGAGACGCUUACUUUUGUGUUCUUUUUCCAUUUGGAUGCCAUUCCGAAUUGUUAUGAACAAUUGUUCUUCUUUUCAGGGGUCACUAAGUCGAGUAGCUACUUGUCCAGAUUCAUGGCGACCGCUAAUGCCAACGCCAAAGGUGGUACGUAUUACUGCCGUAAAUGAUGUUUAAAAUGCUUUCGUUCAUUCUUGCAUAAGGUGUCACAGGUGUCAAUUGUAAUCUUCUUAUCAGCGAGGAAGAAGGAAGUGAAGAAAGAAACUGGACUUGGUUUGACCUACAAGAAAAAUGAGAACUUUGGUGAAUGGUACUCCGAGGUGCGCACGAUCAAGUUACCGGUGGUUCUCUUUCUGUUGACGUUAAAGUAUUAAUUUUGCAUUCCUUUUUCAGGUUGUUGUUAAUAGUGAAAUGAUUGAGUACUACGACAUAUCUGGCUGCUACAUCCUAAGACCAUGGACGAUGACAAUUUGGGAAGUUUUACAAGUAAUGGAUUUAGAUUCAUGUCAGAAGAGAUUGCUGUGUGUUUCCAUAUUUUGUUAACAACCUGGUUCUUUAAUCAAACCCUCCAAUUGUGGCUUCAAAUAAUAAAAACAUCAGUGCUGCGUUUGAUAUUUUUGGGUCCCAUGUAUGUUGAUGAUUUAUAAAUUAUGUGAAGUUUUUAACUAUCUUGAUGUUUAAGAUUACAUUGCCUUGUUUCUUAUCUCUUGGGAUUUCCUCUGGACCAUCUGUUGAUUGCUGAACUUUUUGUACAUGCAGACAUUCUUUGAUGCUGAAAUAAAAAAGAUGAAUAUCAAGAAUGCGUAUUUUCCUCUAUUUGUUACUGAGAGUGUCCUACAGAGGGAGAAGGAUCAUAUUGAGGGCUUUGCUCCUGAGGUGAGAUUUGAGUUUUGUUAAGGUGAACUAGAUUCUGCUGAAUUUUCCUUUCAUGCAGAGAUGAGCAAUUCUUUCUUGACACAUGUAGUUCAGAUUUGGUUUCAAAGUUGUACUCCAGACAGUUGAUGACAAAAUUCUAGAGAUGAUUUAGUUAAUGUUAUAAAAACUGUUGUAGUUGCUGCUAUUCUUGAAUUCUCAUUUACUGCUCAGCAGUAGUUGUUCUUUUCAAUUCUAAUUCGUAAGUUUAUUAGUGUGCAAGUUUUCAAUGUCGCAUACAAUAAUGUGUCCUUUGGCUUACUUCUUGAAGGUUGCUUGGGUUACUAAGUCUGGUCAGUCCGAGUUGGAAGUUCCUAUUGCAAUUCGUCCCACAAGUGAAACUGUCAUGUACCCAUAUUUUUCUAAAUGGAUUAGGGGGCAUCGUGACUUGCCAUUGAAGCUUAACCAAUGGUGCAAUGUCGUUAGAUGGGAGUUUAGCCAUCCUACUCCCUUUAUCAGGUUCCUCUGACAUUUUAUUUAUGAAUGUUGAAAAAUAGAUUUGUGGAUUAUUUUCCUUCUAUUGGAUCAUUGUUUACUAAAAUUUCAUUAGCAUGAUUCUGCUGCAGUUUAGUUUUUAUGGUGUCUUUUUUGGGAUGAUUAGAACUGCCAAGGGCAAUGGCUUUAGUUUGAUAGUUUUUAUUGUGUUAACAAGUACUUUCUUGUAGGGUAUCGAAGUUGGCUUUUUUAAUGCUUAUUGCCACAGUGUUUGACUAUAGGAUUGCCCACAAAUUAGCUGCUAUAUUAUUUUUCUAUUAUAAGAUUAAUCACAAAUUAGCUACUUUUUGUUGCAGUUGUUUUGGUUUGACAGUAAGAUUAAUGUGAGGCUUGUUAUCUCUAGUUCUCAACAACUUGCAUUUUUCUCUUCAGAUACUUUGUGGAUGUCUUUUCCUUCUACUAUAAUUUCCUCCUUUUUUUUCCUUCAACUAUUAACUUGAAAACUGGAGAAUACAGAAGCAAAUGGUGGGUCUAUGCAUGAAAUUGGAUUAUCUAUGUUAUCUCGAUAACAUGGUAUGGUGAAGCGUGUUACAUAAAGCUGCUUAUCUUUGUUGUCUGUGUUUGUUGCUGUUCUGUUGAUCUUGUUUCUUUUUUCUUAACUGAUGUGAGAAGAAGUCAUAUACUCAUUACUUAUCAGUUAAUUGCAUGCAUAUUUUCUGAUUUGUUUCUUUCAUCCAAAAUUUUAAAAUACAUGUUCUUGUUGGACUUCUGUCUUAUUUUUUUUCUUAUCUGCAGGAGUCGGGAGUUUCUUUGGCAAGAAGGGCACACAGCUUUUGCAACACAAGCUGAAGCAGAUCAAGAGGUACUUGAGAAUUCUAUUUUUGGAAAGUUUUUAUUAGAUUCUUAUACAAAAACUAGCUUGUCAGAAUAAACAAUGAAGUUGCUCACCCAGAAAUUAUUUUUGGAUAGCUGAUAUUGAUGUACUUAUUUUAUGAAUUUCAAAGUGUCUGUAGAUGAUAAUUAAAUAGUAAACUCCACUAAAGUUGAUUGGAUGGCAUCCAACAUAAAUAGUAAGCUAUGAAGCACAGACACUUGGAAAUAUUAAUCCCAAUAUAGAUGCUACUAAAGUUAUAUAGUCUUUCUCUUCAUGGUUUUGGUCAUUUUUUGGUUGCAUUGGUCAUAAGGUAGGUACUGGCUUAGUGGUAGUUUGGAUCUUGAUUUUGGAGAAUUUAACCUAUUCUGCAUGUCACUAGAGUAUUCAGGUAGCUGUCAGGAUUUUUAUUUAUAUUUGAGAAGAUAUAUAUGUCUUUUUUAAAAUUUAUUAUGUACUCAUUAUCUGAAAGCAUUCUAUGAGAACUGGGUUCUUGGUGUUCUUUUGGAAAACGGAUUUGUGAUGCUACUGCUAUUUGGAUGAUCCUUGCACUUUGAUCUCUGCAAAAGAUGAACUUUUAUGGAAAUUGACUUUACAUGUGGAAAAUGCAAUAUUCAAAUGUGAUCAGCUUGUUGCUAAGCCAGUUUUUUUUAAAAUGCCUCAUAUUGUCAUUUCAGGUUCUUGAAAUCUUGGAACUAUACAGGAAAAUAUAUGAAGAGUUCCUUGCAAUUCCUGUUGUUAAGGGUAGAAAAAGUGAGCUAGAAAAGUUUGCUGGUGGUUACUAUACCACAAGUGUUGAGGUACUUAAUUUAGUUCAAUUGAAGAAUCUUUUGCUGCAUCAUAUGUAGCUGAUUUUGCAGUAAAUCAUUAUAUCUAUUAUCUACUAUGAUGCAUUGGUUUGUUUUUUCUAGUGUUUGAAAAUUACCCUCCUGUUUGCCAGGCUUUUAUUCCUAACACAGGUCGUGGAAUACAAGGUGCUACCUCCCAUUGCCUUGGACAAAAUUUUGCAAAGAUGUUCCAGAUAAAUUUUGAGAAUGAUAAAGGUGUAAAAGCUAUGGUCUGGCAGAAUUCUUGGGCAUACAGCACUCGCACGGUAAUUUUUUGUGCUGCCAUUAAUUAAAGGAUUUGUUGUUAUGCUGAUGAUAAAACAUAUUUUAGGACAUUCUUUAGAUGCAUUCACUGUUUUGGGAUAUGUAAUUUUAUAACAGCUGUUAUGGCAUUAGGAUAUUUUAUCUUCCAGUGACAGCUAACUUUUUUACACUUUCCUUUGGAGCUCUUUGAGAUAGUAGAAUCAUCCUUGAAUAGAAUUUGAUUUAUCUGAAAUUGUAUAGAAGACCGUUGUUCGCUGUUUGAUUCAGUUGGAGAGUCUAUGAUCAUUGUUGAUCAUUGUAUGGAAUAUAAUUUUCUUGACAAGAAAAAAUAGUGUUCCUCAAAACAUGAUUCAGGGUAGUCACUCUGGUGUUCUGGUACCUCUACAUCCCGAAUUGCCACUGGUCUGUGAUUCAGAUUGCUGAACAUGGAGUGCUAAAUAUUGUUUAGUUUUGUCGUUGUGAAACUAGUACAUGCUUCCUCUAAAAUUCACUCAGGAAAUGUCAAAAUAACAAAGCACCAAACAACUGAAAGCAUCAUACAAAUUAAAGCUUAUUAAGUUUAUUUAAUUAUGUUUUUUGCCUGUUCAAAUUGCAUCUCUACAGGGAGUAAAUCAGGGGGAGGGGGGGGGGGGGGUGGGUGUGUGUGCUUGGUUGGAAAGUGCAAAACACUUUUAAACUGUAAACAUAAAGCUAAUGACAAGCAAGGCUAAAAUAUUUUAAAAAUUGUGGUAAAUAAUACAGGGGGUUCAAUUAACAUCACUCAAAGAUGUUAUAUCCAGGGUUUGCUGUAGCAGUUACUGUAGAACUGUACAUCACUCAAAGUGCUACAGCACUGUACAUCACCCAGGUGUACCGCUCGGUAUACCGUACCGUACCGGUACCGAGCUCAGGUCGAAAUACCGGUAUGGUACUGUAUUGCGAACCUUGGUUAUAUCUUCUUCAAGGCCAUAAUUUCUGAACCAAGAGAAAUGUUAUAUCUUCUAAGUGAACUGGUAUCAUAAUCUUGUACAUCACUAUUCCAUGAUCCAGGUAAUUGUAAAAACUGUUAAAAUAGAAAAGAAGAUAGUUGUUUUACAAUUUAUAACUGUUGGUUUGAGAAGACAGUUAUGGUUUAACAAUUCAUAACAGUUGAUUUGAAAAUUCGAUCAUUUGUAUCUUAGGCUGCUCUGUGGUAAAUUAUAUCGUAAAAGAAUAAUUUUAACAGUGUUUUCUUUUUGCAAGAAAGUUGUGUAAUUUGUAAGAGUCUUUUGGUUUUUCAUAUGCUUGUAGAUUUCCGGAUGAUGAUAUGUAGUUUUUCCAGGAGUCAUAUUCUUGAUAUAUAAUGCCAUGAUAGUUGGAUUUAAAUGUAGUGUACGUAUCUUGAGAUUGGAUUCUUGUAUCUCUGGAAGUGGCAUUUUCCAUGCUUUUUCUCUGACAUGCCAAGUUUAGUUUUUUCUAUUGCCACUCUCUUUGUAUAAUCAUUCUUUUUUUGAACAAUCAUUCGCCAGACUUGGAUAUUUUUAACAUAACAAUCUGUUGCUAGAACAAGAUUCUAAUGGAUAGGUGUCCAUGGCUAACUAAUGGUUGUUCAUUUAAUUAUGUUGAUAUUAUUUAAAACUUGGUUUGUCUCAUUAAUGUGUGUAUGCAUUAAUGAUGAGGGCAUGAUUAAGCUUGAUUAGCACCAACUCCAUUUAAUAGUUUCCUAGUGGAAUAAUUUCUGACAAUAUGUAACAUAGUUAGGAAGCAAAUGUGAGUUAUCUGAUCUCUAGCUUUUCUGCAGAUUGGUGUUAUGGUGAUGGUUCAUGGAGAUGAUAAAGGCUUAGUAUUACCACCUAAAGUGGCAUCAGUCCAAGUGAUCGUCAUCCCUGUCCCUUUCAAGGAUGCAAAUACUGAUGCAAUCUUUAGUGCCUGCUCAUCAACAGUUCAGGCACUCCGUGAAGCAGGCUUUAGAGCUGAAGCAGAUUUAAGAGAUAACUACUCUCCUGGCUGGAAGUAUUCACACUGGGAAAUGAAAGGUGUUCCUUUGAGAAUUGAAAUUGGACCCAAGGAUUUGGCAAAUAACCAGGUAAACAAGGAGUUGAAAUAUCUGGGUCAAUCAGUAUGACUUUACUGAUCAAGAUUUCCUUUUGUUCACUUCAAUUGCAAAUUCAUUCAAGCACCAAAGUUCUUCCUUGUGGAUAUCAUUUGCUAGUGCUUCCACCCUAUGCAAUGGGUCAUAGGGAAAGUCACAUGGAACUAAUAUUUCUGCCUUCAUGUGUCUUUGUUAUUGUUUUGUUUUUAUGUUUUGAUGCAGCAAUAAUUUUAAUUUUACAAUCAAUAUCUUCUCCAAUUACUGUAUGGAUCCAAUCCUCAACAGUCUGAUUGUAUCUGGAAUUGAUGGUCAGAGCCGACGCAAGGCUGUUGGGUAUCUUCAUCUUUAUAUUAGACAGUUACUGCUUAGCAUGAUUAGUGUCUUCAUCCUAAUCUUGGUUGAUGUGGUUGUCAUGAAUGAUUGCUCUCAGGAUAACUGUUCUUUUCAUCUUCUGGAAUUUGUUGGAUUAUCUAAAAUGGUGCCAAGAAAGUUGUCCUUUUCUAGAGAUUCAAAACGGAGCAUUACGUUGUUCGAUACCUUUUAUCACUUUGGUGCCAUUAUUGUGUAAAACAUCUUGUAUUACCGAUUAGAUUUCUGUACCUAACAUCAUGGUCAAUAGACAAUCAUUGUCCAUAUGAUUGUAAAAGCUAGACAAAGUUACUGUUUAAAGUACGGUGCCAAUAUACAAAGUUACUGUUGGAGUUGUAUGAAGGUAAAAGCUAGAUUUUGAUAUAUUUGUUUGUCAGAAAUCCAUGUGUGGACUACCAUAGGAUUGGCAAGGAUAACUUUUUUAUUGGAAUUCAAUAAUUAAAAAAAUCAGGAAUCCAACCGAUGGAUUGAGAUAUUUUGUUCUGCUUAAGGUUUGAAACAGUGGCAGCAUGGUAUGUUCUGUGCCAGCCUAAACAUGUUUAACAAGGCAUGGUUAUAAUAUUAAAUAAUUGGCUUUCCAACUGCAUGGCUCAACAAGAGACUUCUCAGCCUAAGCAUCUCCUUUAUUAGAGAAGACUUAAACUUGUAAAGCAUGCAACUGCAUUGUGGUAUCGAAUCAGCAUAUACUCGAACCCAGGGAGUUGUUCUUUGACAUCCUAUUUUCGCUAGCAUAAUACAUGUCAUGUCUUGUUACAUUGUCAUGGUUACAAUUAUAUUUUAUGAGCUGCGCAAAUAUAGCAGGUUGCAUUUUACUACUGAAAGGCACUAGCAGUUCACUUUUUUUUUGCAAGCGUACAUUUGAGCUGCAUAUGGUUUGCUUAUGAGAACUUAAGCUAGUUUGCUUGAGUGUUUCUCGUAUCUUGUUUAGCAUUUUAUCGUAUGCAUGUCCUUUUUGUUUCUUAUAUGAUGGGAUAGAAAUCUUAUAUACAACUUACAGGUGCGGGUUGUUAGGCGUGACAAUGGUGCAAAAUCAGACAUACCAAUGGGCAAUCUGGUGGAAAAAGUGAAAGAGAUACUCUCAAGUAUCCAGGAAUGCUUGUUUAAUGCAGCAAAACAGAAGAGAGAUGCAUGCAUAAAGAUUGUCAAUACCUGGGAUGAGUUCAUAGCUGCUCUUAAUGACAAAAAAAUGAUCCUUGCUCCCUGGUGCGAUGAAGAGGUACAUCCUUAUCAUUAAGUUCAUUGGAUGAUAUUUCACAUGUUGUAUGUCAUUCAUGGUCAUUAUAUCAGUUGUGUAGUUGUGCAAAUAUGAUGAUGGCCAAUGGUGCUGUUGUGGGACAUAAGUGACCAAAUGCAUACGGAAGUAAAAGGCAACGAAAUAUAUUCAAUUGUAUUCACUAUGUAAACCUCCUUUUUUUGCUGAUGUAGCCACUAUACUGUUUUCGUAGCUGUUAUCAUCUGUUUUUUGCCCUCAAUGAUGGUACUUUUGUCAAUAUUGUGUUUUAGUGAUGUUAAAUUACAUGUUUCUGGAUGAUAAUUAUUAUAAGGGUUAAGGCCUUUAAAGAUUACUUGUUAAGACUGGAAGGUGGCAAGUUGUGAUCUGAAAGUUUCUAAUUUUAUGGUUACAUGUAUAUGCUUCUUUUUAAUUAUUAUAUUUUUAACAAAGAAAAUAAGAAGAGUUUCUGUUUUAUUUUGUUUCGUAUUCUAUGCCUACAGGAAGUUGAGAAGGAUGUAAAAGCUCGAACAAAGGGUGAACUAGGAGCUGCAAAGUCUCUAUGCACCCCAUUCGAUCAGCCAAGGCUUCCAGAAGGUACUCAUUCGUUUAGUACAUAAAUUGAUCAAGCUAUCUAACUAUACAUUAAGCACAAAGUCAUACCUUGAAAAGACCUUCCUGUCAUACCAUGUCAUGAUAUGAAAAACAGGAAUAAUCUGAACAAAAACCCCAAAAAAAUAAAAAAAUCCAAAGAAAUGAUUAUUUAAUGUGAAGUAUAUCAGUCGUAAAGGAUCAUGCAUGAAUCAUAGCAAAGCAAUAUAUGGUUCAUUGUUCAUCAAUCGACGUGCAUGAUUACCUAUCAUGAUCAUCAAUAGGUAAAUAUGUAAAUCAUCCAGCACACAUGCAUGCAAUAUUAUUAUAAAGGCACAUCCAACAGUGUCAUUAACAUACAUUAGGAUGGAUCACACAUCUUAUAGAACACCACAUCACCCAUGCAUUCACCAUCCAACAUUGGUGUAUAAGUUAGAACUUCUAGUUGAUGCACUUUCUCAUAGUUGAUAGAGAGUGGCCAUAUCAUAUUCUUACCUGAUCAGAAAUAUCUGGAACUUAAUUUGGAGGUUUCAAAAUCCUUUCAUUUUUGGGCUGUCUUCUUGGCCAAUGAGUUGGAUAGUUUUUUGUGCUCCAAGGAGCAAGGUGGAGCUUGUAUUAGGUUGCUUCAGUAAUAUAGUUUUGGCUUUUUGUUUGAGAAAAAAAAUCUUAUCCUCACAAGAGAACAUCUGGUUACCACCACCUCUGACUACUUGUUAAUCCUUAAAGAGAAUCAUGCUAUCAAUAUUGACUCAUCUGCCACCAAAAAGUUUGUUUCACUAUCAUCAUUUUCCAUGUAAUCACAUAUCAUGCAAAAUAUAAUAUUAUUAAUGACAUUAUCAUGAAACAUCUGGUGUACAAAAACAAGAUAUAGAUACCAUGAAUGAAAUAAGAUUAUGGUUGAUUGAAUUUCAUGAUUGUUACAAACCAGUCCUAAGACUCAUUGUAUUAUUUCCUUGCUGUCAAAAUGUAUCCGACUCUUACAGUUUAAGUUGAUCAUUCUAGAUUGUUGAUCCUUCUCCAUCGUAUAAAAGUACUACGAGAUGAGGUUUGUGAAUCUGGAUAAGUAUUAAUUUUGAUGUUCGAGGAUAAAGGGAGACUCAUAUCUAGAUUGUUGAUCAUUCUUUUUAGCUCUGUUGCUCGUCCAUCUAAUGAAUUAAAGAUCUGUUAGAACUUAUUCACUUAUAUGACUUCAACUGUCCAGCUCUUGCAGAUCAUGCUUUCCUUCAUGAAAGAAGCUUGUGCCAUCAUUCUUUUAGUUUAUUUUUAAUCACAGUAUCUACCUUGUACCAUUACCUUGAUCUUUUUUUUUUUUUGUCUUUGAUGAUGAUGCCCGACAUGAGAUUUAUCAUUCACAACUUUGUGCAGGAACUCUAUGCUUUGCCUCAGGAAAGCCAGCCAAGAAAUGGACAUAUUGGGGACGAAGCUACUAGGCAGGUUGAUUACAGAGAUCCUACUGUCGUUUAUUCUGGAGUUUGCAUUUUUAUGAAAACGAUUGCAAGUGUUCCAUACUUUAUUCUCCUGUAAAAGAUUUUGAAAGUUUUGAGUUAUUCCUGUUUGAAAAUUGGGCUGAUAUGCAAGCAGUACUUCAUGCAGUUGUUAGAUCGAGCUAAUCAUAUGUCGUCUAGUAAAAAAUAAAGAAGAAUGACGAGCUAGACCGAAUAUAUAGUUUCAGUCUGGAGAUGUUAGGAUUGAAUGUUUGGAGAUCCUAUAUUGCCACUUUCAUUUUGGUUCUUGAGUGCAAGAUUGAUUGGUCAAACAUUUUAAAUAAGGUUUCACCUGCAUGAGAUGUUCCGAAACGCAAUAUGUUCAUAAUUUGGCUUUAUCGUGUGGGCUGGUCGAUGGUCCUUUGUCAGUGAUGGUGUGCUCCUUAUUUGGUUCAUCUUUAUCUCUUAGAUGUGAGGAUACGGCCAUGGGGUAAACAUGUCGCUAUUAUGGUCUGAGAUAGAAAUAUUAAGGACUUGGCACUCGGAGAUCAUUGUGGGAUGAUUCUACAACUAUGACUAGUGUUUCCCAAUCAGCUGACGGGUAGUGUUUCCCAAGAGGUAUGCCGUAAUUGUACGUAUACAAAGCCAAUAUUGGAUUUUUAGGCACAGGGAGAGGUGUUUUCUUCCUUCUAGUUUUUACCGCCUUAUCCAAAGAGAGAGUUCUUUAUAUAUAUAUAUACAUAUAUAUAUAUAUAUAUGUAUAUGUAUAUAUACAUACAUAUAUAUGUGUGUAUAUAUACAUACAUAUAUAUAUANNNNNNNNNNNNNNNNNNNNUAUAUAUAUAUAUAUCUCGAGAAUAGGAGUAUCGAACACCUGGCAUCGAAACAUCAGCUUCCUUCGCUUCUGUUAUUUAUUUAUACCACCGAAGGAGGGGUUAGGAAAAGGAAAAAGAAAAGAGUUCCGGUGGGCGAGCGAUACGGGCGAAAGAGUCGGGCGGCCGCGACGAUGGAUUCUUCGAGCGGCGACAGCGGGCGAGGUGGAGGGACGUCGCUGCUGUCGGCGUGGAGCGCCGCCGCCUCCCGGCGGUACCAGCACCUGCUCGACAAGGCCACGCCGCACGUACUUCGGAGGUGGGCCGGGCUGGCCGUGCUGGCUCUCGUCUACGCCGCUCGCGUCUGGAUUGUCCAGGGUUUCUAUAUCGUCUCGUACGCCCUCGGCAUCUACGUCCUCAACCUCUUCAUCGCCUUCCUCUCCCCACAGGUCGAUCCCGAGAUCCAGGACCUCGUCGCCGGCCCCGGUCCCUCCCUUCCCACCCGUUCCUCUGAUGAGUUCCGCCCUUUCGUUCGCCGCCUACCCGAGUUCAAGUUUUGGUCAGUGCCGUGCACCAUUCUUUCUUGCUCCUCUUAUUUUUGAUCCUAUUUGAUCUCGCAAUCCUUUUUCUCGUGUGUCGACCUGUUAGAUUCAGAUCAAAUAUGUUAGAUCAAGUAAAAUCCUAUGCUAAGAAAGUAGAAGGCUAUAAUUGGUUGAUACGAGCUCUUGGCUUGAUCCCCUGCAUUGAUUCAGGAAAGUUAUUUGAUUUUAGCCUACCAAAGUUUUGCAAUGGAGUUGAAAUUUCUGAAGCAUGCAUGUGGUACAUACAUAAGUGUUGAAGAAAACUUUGUGAUAAGAGAUUCUAGAAGGAUUGGGACAAUCAACCAUAGAUGUUGGUGUUUCCUUUUUGUUUUUUUCUUUUCGCAGCAAAUGUUCUUUAGCAACUCCGGAAUGGCCCGAUCAAUUGUGACAUCGGUUAUCUUUUUCACAUAGGGCGUGUCUUCCUCUAGGUCAAGGUGUUUUCACAUAGGUAUAACCUUUACCUAUUUGACCGAUGGUGGAUUGGUUUUGACAAAAGACAAAAGAAUAUGCAAGAAUUGACUUUAAUUGUUAACUGAAAAUUCAUCUCAAUGCCUUUCAACAAGUUGCCUGCCUGAGCACUAGUGUUAUUGUUGAGUAGCAAUAAUGCUUAAUUGAACAGCACAGUCAUUUAUCCGCAUAAUUCAUGUGUUGGUUGACUAGGAGCUGAUUAACCAAUUAGAUUGAACUUUUUGUCUAAAUGAACAGAGAGCACUUGAUCACUUGCGACGAUUGCUAGAAACAUUGACUCUAGAAUUCUUUAUUUAAGGUAAUACUGAUAAUUAUAUGAAGCAUGAGGACCUAGGUAAUGUUACGGUUGUUUUUUUUUUCUUGUGCGAUGCGAUCAAGACUUAAGACAUAAAAACAACAUAAGACUGUGUAUAUUGUCUCUUCCCAAUUGCAUUGGUGGGGGCUUUGUACUUUGGGACCAUCCUUUAACAAUGAGACGAAGUGAAAAUGGAUCAGUAGUUAUAACAAAGGAGUGCUAUUAAGUUGCACCAGGCUAAGAUCCAAAUCUAUCCAAUAAAGGCUCACAAGUUCCAAUCCUGAAUCUGAAUCCCUCCCAUAAGAGGAUCUAAAUCAAAUCUUGAUUGCAGAAACUAUAACUAUUGGAUACCAUAUUUGGUAGCUUAGAUUUGGCUUGCUUUCCAUAUACAAUAAAUGCUAUUUGGUUUUGCUUUCCCCAAUCCAAUAUACAACCAAAGGUUAGCAAUAAAGGAACCAAACCGAUCAAAGUGCAUUGCUCAUUUGCAGUCUGUACCAUUUAUCAGUCAAACAUCUCAGAAAAUCUCGUAUAGGCAUUUUUAUAGAAAAACAAUACUUUGAUCUUUAUCAAAGACAAUUGUUUUAUGGAUUUACUCCAAAAGCAGAGUCCAAUAGUUACCAUUUACAGGUUGAGAUUCCAUACUCGAUAAAUAGCUUAAUAAAUCCUGUUCAAGAAUCCCUUACUUGAAAUCAGGUCAAAUUCAGAUUUGGACUAUCAGAUCCUCAGGGUCUUUGGCACCUGUAAAUUCAACCUUUUAUAGGCAUCAAAACUAUGAGGUGUUGGCAGUGAUAUGACAUUUACAGUAUGCUGACAUGGUUUCCUCGUGUCAUGCAGAUGCCAUCUCGUAUAAAGAUAAUAAAUGCAGCAUCUAGUAGGGUCCAAGUUGGUCCAUAAAUGAUGCACUUGGCAACACUUGGAUGACACGUCAACUUUAUGUUUGUCACCUGGCACUAUAGGAUUGGCAUGUCAGCUUACAUGAUUCCAUGCGGAUGACAGAUCAACUUGACUGCCUUGAUGUUUGUUACUCGGUACCACACAACAUGUUAGUUAGCACCAUUCUGUCGCCAUGAACAUUAGACCUUGGGCUAGGCCUUCCAAAUAGAUCAACUCCUAGGUGGGAAAGAAAACAGAGGCCAGUGUUAAAUUGCUAAACCACUGGUGAGGAAAGUGAAAAUUUCCCUUUGUAAUUAAUAUAUCAAUGCAGUAUAUUUAGAUAUUGCUUGAACUAUGUCUGUAAUAAUAUUUGCAUUCCCUGUUUUGUGAUUUAUUCUAAAUUUAUUUACAUGCUUUAAUAUGUUUGACGAGUAUUUAAGAGUGUUCAAGUUCAUCAUCCUAUAAGAUGGUAUGAAAUUCUAAAAACACAAUUUGAUAAUUUACUCGGAAAAUGAUCAGGUAAUUCCAUACAUUGAUAGUUGCUCUGAGCCUCUUGACUUCUGCCUGAGUGUAUAUGCUACCACCCAAGUGUAUAUUUGUUUUCACCCAUGGUUUACGAACCUAUUCGUUGAACAUGAUCUAUUCUGAUGAUGGAAAAAUACUCAUUUCAGGUCCCACUCUGAAAUCCCUCAUCCAACCAAAUUUUAGUGAUAUCAAUACCUUAGUGCUUUUUCUAUUUCUAUAGAUAGUCACUUCCUUUCUACUUGUCAUAAACCUAGUACCAUCGCUUACCUAGAACAAGUGUGACAAUUUUUAUUUCAACACGCUCUACUGCUAAUAACAUUUUGACGUUACAAACACAUCAUGAUGUGGCAUCAUGUCGUGCCCAUGAGUAGUAUGUGCGUGGUGGGCACAAAAUUGGUACAGCAAGUUACAAUUGUCAUAGGCAAACCAUGAUUCAGACCCACAUAACUGCAGCUAGUGUUCCUUUCCAAAGGAUGGAACAAUUGCACAUCCAGUACCUUGCUGGUUUAGUUGUGUUAUCAUGGCAGAAAAGCAUGAGUAUGGUGCAUGAUACUCAUCAUAAUGACACUGUUUUGAAGUAGUAGUUGAAUAUAUUUUUUCUAAUAUGAUCAUAUUGCUGAGAAGUUAGAUCAUUUGUCUAGACUGGUUGUGAACUAGUAGUUGUCUUUUCUUUCAUUCUUUUGCUCUUUCUUGUCGGUUUCUCUCAUGUUCUUGUUCUGAAAGAUGUAAAUGCAGUUCUUUUUAGUGUCCAUGGGUAACAUUCUUUCAGUGCAGGCAUUCCAUUACAAAAGCGUUUUGCAUUGCUUUCGUAUUGACGUUCUUCAGUGCAUUUGAUGUGCCUGUAUUUUGGCCUAUUCUGCUCUUCUACUGGUUAGUGCUGUUCACAGUCACGAUGAAGAGACAGAUUCUUCAUAUGAUUAAAUACAAAUAUGUUCCAUUCACCUUCGGAAAGCAGGUAUUUUAAUGCUUCUAAACACAGAUGAGAUAUCGUUCUCUUAAACAAGUAUCCUGAUUAAUCGUCUGAUCUCCUAUUUCAGCGUUACACUGGGAAAAAAGCAGUCUCCACCGAUGAUGCGACUCUUCCGAGCGAUUGAACUGCAUGUUUGUAUGUUAAGCUCGAAAGAAUCCCAAGUUGAAACCCUAGUUAGAACGAAGAGGUCAAAAUGGUCUAAUCAUUGUGAUCUAUAUUAUGCUAGGAGCUUUCUAUAGUUCAACCGAGUUGGAAGAACCUGAUGUUGAGUGCUCUGUUACAUGUCAAUGUGUGAGGCUUACAGAUUCCGAUGGGUCUUCUGGUCUCUUGCAUUUUGUUUUACCUGUUGAACAGCAGCUACAUUUAUCAUUCAGAAGACACCAUAUGUUUUGAUGCUCUUCGUCUUCCUACAUGUUUGUUAUUACUAGGCACAGAGACAGCAUCAACUUCGUUUCUCCAAAUCUUUACUUAGGCUAUUUGUUACCGCGUUGAAGAGUGUAUUUAUGUUCUUUCCAUAACAUCGAAUUGCGCGAGUGGAUUUCAAUCUUUUCAAUUCGGAUUCCAUUACUAUAUAAUUAAUUCAUUAAAGGAAGAAAACAAUUUAAUCUUUUAAGGAUAUUUUAGGAAAAAUAAACUUCUCCCCUUCCCAAUUGUGUGGACUUUGGACAGAAUGAACUUUCUAGAAGAAAUAACAUAGAGAAGUUCCAAGACUUUUCGUGCAGUUUGAGGGCGUCACGACCUUUCUUCGCGUUCAUCCCAUCGAUUUCCCGCAUUGUUUCCCCUCCUCCUCUUAAUACGCGUUGACUUGACUUUCGGGUCGUCGCUUCUCCCUUAUUAACGUUUCUUCCGUUAAUAAACUCCCACCUUCUCUAUCUCUUCUCGCCUCCGAUCUCAAUGUCGUCCGUCUCUGGAAUCCAAGGCCACAUCCUUGAGGUCACCGGUAACUCCGCCUGAACCUUUCCCCCUUCCUCGUUUUCGUUAAUCCUUCUUGACGAUAUGUGUAAUGAUCAUUCUCUCUAUUCGAUUUUGUUGUUGUUGUUGCUGCUGCUGCUCUGGGGGGGAAGUGGUUGGGUGCACCAAAUUGAGGGACACCGAGCUGUUCUCCCGCCAAGAUCCUUACGUCUGCCUUGAAUACGCCAAUUCCAAGUUCCGCACUCGCACCUGCACAGGUUUGUUCUUUGAUUCAUUCCCCUAAUGUUUUCUUGAUCUGAUGAUCGGAAGGCGCUUAACAAAAGCUGGAUUUGGGUUCCCAGAUGGCGGCAAGACCCCCACGUUCCAGGAGAAGUUUCAGAUACCCCUCAUCGAGGGGCUCCGUGAGAUCAGCGUGGCUGUGUGGAACAGCAACACCUUCACCGCCGACGACUUCAUCGGCAGCGCCAGGUUCCCAUCUUGUCCUCUCCCUUCAUCCUUUUCUUACUUGGUAUUUGGUCGAUUCCUCGCGCUCUCUCUCCCUCUUUCUGUUAAUCAAAUUAAGGCUUACUCGGUAAACAUGCUCAAUUUGUUCUGCUCCUAUAACCGAUCGUGAUCCGUAGCUUGUUCUUUGCUAGUCAAAUUAGGGUUUCACCAUUUAGACGAUGACAUCAAUUGGUUUUCCCUAUUUACAACCUGGCUCAUAGUUCAGCUAGAUUGGCUAUGAUCUCUGUGAAUCAAGAUACUGAAACAUGGAACUCGAUCCUUCUUGUGCCCAGGGUUCAAUUGCACAAGGUCCUCUCCCAGGGUUAUGAUGACACUUGUUGGCCACUCCAAACCAAGAAUUUCAAGUAAAGACUGUUCUCUCAAUUUUUGCUACUCUGCUAUUAGGUUAGAGCUUUCUUCCCAUCAUAUUGUUUUUGCAGAUUUGCAGGAGAGGUGAAGCUCAUCAUGCACUUCCAAAAUGCAUUAGUAAGUUCGGUUCGAUUAUUGCUUGUAAAUUCCCACUAGAGAACACAAGUAACUUCAAUUUGUUGCAUCGAUGAGCAGCACAAGACCCCCGCACAUUGUGCUCCGUCCGCCCCACCUUACAUGUCGCCGCCGCCGGUGAUCGCGGCAUAUGCCCCUCCUUAUGCUUCUCCUUACACAGCUGGAGCUUAUCCUGGAGCUGCCUCAUAUGCUUCGUAUCCCCCACCUGCGGCAGCACCGUAUCAGACUAGUGUAUAUCCAACUCCACUACCGCAACAAUUCUACGCACCCCAAUCGUAUCCUCCUCCUUCCUAUCCGCCGCAGCCCUACAUGCAGCAGUACCCCCCGUCGCCGGCACAACCUUACUAUCCACCAGGUAAGUCUCAAAAGAGGAGCAUCGAUUGAGGAGAUUCCUGAGCACAAUGUAAUUACCUGGAACUCUUUUUGCAGGGCCUUACCCGGGUUCUUAUCCUCCACCUUACUGAUUGGGAGAUUAAUGGUGCUAGUCUUGCAAUUCAUUUCUUCUUCGUGCACCUCCAAAUCAAGUGGUGGCUUCACGGUAGAUGAUUUCACAGUUAUGUUUCUCUCCUUGUUUGGUGAUUCAGCUGCGUACCUGCGGAUAAAGUUAAUACUAAUUUUUGGUGAUUCAUAUGCUUCUAUUAUUAUUAUUUUUUUUACUUUUGUCUUUGAAUUUGAAAUUUGGAAUGCAUUAAGUGCCUAUCUUACUCUUCAGUUUUAUUUGAAGCCAUGAAGGCUCUUUGGGUCAUAGCGUUUUGUUUGCAAGUGGAUUGCAACCACGAAGUCCCAUCCCUACUUCUUCUCCUCCUCUCAGUGGUUCAUCACAACCACUUGUUCCAGAACACCCCAGUCGUCUUCCUUUUGUUUAGCUCAUGGCUCUUGCAUUCACGCUGUGUCGGAGGACAAACGAGUGCAGAGCCGCAGCAGCAUCGGGCGCCGAAGCCGGAAGAGUCCGACCGGAAAAAGCCGUCGAGGACGUGGCUUUUAUCCUUAGUUUCGGAAGGUUUUGCCUUGGUGGUAUCUCUAUCCGGUAGAUUCACGCAGCCGAAGGACACUAGUCUGUCACUUUUGGCUGUGUGUUUGGGAAGACGAUGAGGUAAAUGACUCGAGUGCGUUCGAGCCCUGUGGGGGAGUCUGUGUCCAUUCUUGUCCCCUUCUGAGCGGUUCUUUUUCAUGCUCGAUUAGUAAGUACAUUAAACAUACCUCUUCGAUCUGGAGAUAAAUAAUGUCGAAUUAACAGUGCUUGUGAGAUCUGAUAUACUACCACUUGCCACUUGGUAAACCCAAACUAGUUUCUUUGGUAGAUGCUUAGCGGCGGGGAACAAUGAUUUGAUGUUGUUGCUGUUCGUGCCCGAGAUGGGUGGAAAUCAGAAAUGAAAAGAUUGCUUGUCUUAUUCUCUUGGAAACAUCCCUGUUAUACAAACUUGAUUGAGCCAAACAGAGAAUAGAUACAUGCAAAAGGCUAAAAAGUGAAAAGUAGCACAGGCACUCCGAGUACAAGGCAAUUUAACUUGCCUGGAUUCAUUUCACAUGAUGUGUAUAGCAGAUUUGCAGGUACAUCUCUUAAUAGCUUUACUAUUAUGUGCAGUCGAGUCAAGUUUUCACGUUCACCAAUCGAAUCCAGCAAACCAAAUCAAGGAUCUCUGUUCUUGGAAUCAGUGUGUGGAGUCCUCCUUCUUCAUCUCCUAGUUACUUUCUCUUCUUCCAUCCCUGUUUUAGCUCAAAUAGUGUUGGGAUCUGAAGUUACAGAUGAAGUGAAUGUUCUCUUCCAGAAGACGGUUGAAGUAAUCUGUUCAUUCACGUGCCAAUACUACCUACAGAUCGAUAGCUCAAUAGGUCCUUUUCCUGUGUCACUUUCCUGCUACACAAGAAAGAGAAAGAGGAGGAGAGAGAUGGAUUGCUGUGCUAUCACCAAAAUGAAAUGGAAAGUGGUGUAAUAAUUGUCUAUAGAAGACAAACCAAAUCUAUGGAGAAUAAUAGACUCCAGAAAGUCCCAACCUCGAUCAAAAUUGAGUUGCAUGCAAUGACAGUGACGCAGGAAUGCCAUCAAACCAAAGACAUGGAAUUUUCCCAAUCAUAGCAUCAACUUGGUCACCCAAAUCUUGGUGGCAAAAGGGCAUAUGUAUUGGAGAGAGAGAGAGAGAGAGAGAGAGAGAGAUGUGCAGAGUGGUUUUAUUACACAGAUUCUGCAAAGGAGAUAUAACCCAUAAAGAUUUGCCUGUUUUGGGGGGAAAGAAGGGUGAAAAGGUCACAACCUCAGUCCAUCUACAAUUGUAGGAAGACAAAAUUCACUUGCCUCCAAUUGAUCAUACAAAUCAAUGUAAACCCUCUGAGACAUUAUAACCUACAACAGUUGAGGCCGGGAUGCAUCAGCCACAAACAGCAAGGCCAUGAAAAGUUGUGCUGCCUCCAACCAUUGGCACCUCCCAACACUGUCCCUUUGUAUUGAAUAAUAAUCUCAUGCAUCAAAAGCUCUAUACAAAUUAAGCAUCAUAGGCUAAGCCUACCUUCCCUGCACCCAACACCAGACGGUGCUACUUCUCCCAUAAAGAUUCCCAACACUUGACCAUCGUAGUAAAUGCAUGGUCCCUUCAGCCCUCCCUCUUCGAUCUCUUUCCGCAAGAGAUGACAUAGGAAGUGGAAGAGGCCCAACAAGCACACUAGUCCUUCGAGAACGUGAGCAAAUCCUCCACAGUUAACGCUGAUCUCAUGCGGAGAGUGAGAGGCAGAACACCAGAAGACAUUACAUCCUUCCUCCUCCCUCUUGUCCUUGUUUUCCUUGGAUCCACCUUCAUCGGCUCACUAGGUUUGCCGCCCAUAUCCCGCAGGUCAAUCCCCUCUCCCAUGUCUUCUUUCCGACAGCAAGAUUCCCCUACAGCCCUUUCCCUCCCUCUCUCUCUCUCUCUCUCUCUGGCUUUUCCUUUUUUCCCUGCGGUGUUGCCUGGGAGGGAGGUUGUUUUGACUAUUCUUUCUGUGUCUGUGACUUGGUUCCAGGUUAAAGCUUUGAGGCUGCUUCAGGCAGUGGAUGCCCUCUCGAUGAGCUGUGGUCUUAUUUUAUAGCUUCCAACAGGCUAAUCCAAUCCCCUCCUUUUGUUUGCUCUCUUCCCCAUGACCUAUCUCACCUCAGAGUCACAUGCAUUGUUCCCAGCUGAAGCUCCAGUCCAGUUUUUUUCUUCCUCUCUUGGCUUAUAGCUCAAGGUUUUUUGAGGCCACCCUCCCCCUGCAGACAUACGUUCCAGGGGUUCGUUCACAUCACAUCCCUCUUCUUCUUCUUCUUCUUGUAGCAGCCACUGAGACAUGAGUUGCUCCAAAGCAUCACCAACAUGAGCUCACAAGGGAGUAGGCUGCAGAGCAAAUGGCAGGCUACUACUAGAUCUCUUCCACCGCUGCUGACGCUUCUUGUCCUGGUAAGCCCAGUGCUGGCCCUCGGCCAAGAUGGAGUGCUGCUGCUCAAGUUCAAGUCCUCCAUCCUCAGCGACCCCCUCGCCGUGCUCCGCGACUGGAACUACUACGACGCCACGCCGUGCUCGUGGAAUGGAGUCGUGUGCAUGGGUUUCCCGGACGCAGCCGCUAUCACCUGGACUCCUCCUCCUCCUCCUCCUGCUGCUAAUACUGGAGGCGGUGGCAAUGUUCAGGUCCCCACGGCUUCCAGAGUGAUCGGCUUGGUCCUGCCCAACUCUCGGCUCUUGGGCUCCGUCCCCCCCGAGCUCGGCCUCCUCGAACACCUUCGCCACCUCGACCUCUCCGGCAACAUGCUCAACGGCACCCUCCCGCCCUCCCUCUUUGACGCUUCCGAGCUUCGCGUGCUCUCGCUGGCCAACAACGCCAUCUCCGGAGAGCUCCCGGAGCUCGACGGGCGCAUGAGCAGCAGUUUGCAGGUGCUCAACCUCUCCGACAACGCAUUGAUCGGCAGGUUGCCGGCGAACCUUUCUCGGCUGCCGAACCUCACAGUUGUGUCCCUCGCCAAUAACUACCUGUACGGACAACUUCGCGGCGGCGGGUUCUUGCGGCUCCAGUACUUGGAUCUCAGCUCCAACCUCGUCAAUGGCUCCUUGCCGACGGAUCUCGGUGGGCCGAGGCUCCGGUACUUGAACCUGUCAUACAACCGCCUCACCGGCGCAAUCCCGCUGGAGCUGGGGGCGACGAUUCCGGCCAACGCCACGGUGGAUCUGUCGUUCAACAAUCUCACCGGAGAGAUCCCGCAUGGCGGCGCUUUCGCCGCGGAGAAGCCGAUGGCGUUCGUGGGGAACCCGAGUCUAUGCGGGAGGCCGCUCAGAAACCCGUGCGCCAUCCCCUCCAUUCCCUCCACCGUCUCCGACCAUCCUAAUUCUUCCGUCGCGGCUCCGCAGAAGGGCAAGUCUCCCCCAGCCUUCGCGGCGAUACCCAAGAACACGGACGGGACCUCGCCUGCCGGUGGCGGGCAAAGCUCGGCAGGGCGAGGGACCCUCCGGCCGUUUGCUGUGAUCGCGAUCACGGUCGGGGAUUUGGCCGGCGUUGGGAUCCUUUUCGUAGUGUUCUUGUAUCUAUACCAUGUGAAGAAGAAGAAGAAGACGCAAGAGCAGCGGCAGCAGAAAGAAGUUGGAGGCGUAGGGCUGAAGAAUGAGCCGCCGCCAACAGCAACAACGGCAUCCCCUGAAUCCAAAACCAUAGGGCUGUUGUCUUGCUGUUUGAGAAAGAAAGGCGGCGGCGACGGAGGUGACACCGAGGAGACAUCGGAGACUUCGGGAUCCUCCGAGACGGAGGGAGAACUGGAAGAAGCGCCAAAGGGAGAAAAGGACGGUGAGGACGGUAGAUCCCACUCGCAGCAGAAGCUACAAGGGGCUACUCUUGUCAUGGUCGACGGCGAGACAGAGCUGGAAAUCGAGACAUUGCUCAAAGCCUCGGCUUAUAUACUCGGCGCCAGUGCGUCCAGCAUCGUCUACAAGGCGGUGCUCGCCGACGGCACCGCCUUGGCCGUCCGCCGCAUUGGGGAGGGCAGCGUCAUCGGCAAGUUAAAGGAUUUUGGUGCUCAGGUCCGCAGCCUUGCCAAAUUCCGCCACCCGAACCUCCUCCGCCUCCGGGGAUUCUCCUGGGGCGCCGACGAGAAGCUUCUCAUUCACGACUAUGCCCCCAACGGUAGCCUCGCCAACAUCUCUCUCAGCAGUAUGUCUCUGUCUUCUUUUGCCGUCUCUUUUCUACGAUGAAGUUUGCUUCAUGAAUCAGUGGAUUGAGUCCUGUGUACUUGCCCGAGUGUUUACAGAGAAGCUCGGCUCGUCGCCGUUGCAUCUGAGCUGGGAGGCACGACUCAGAAUAGCGAGAGGCGUGGCGAGGGGGCUCGCCUACAUCCACGAGAAGAAGUGCUCGCAUGGCAAUCUCAAACCGAGCAACAUUUUAUUGGAUUCAGACAUGGAGCCAAAGAUCGGAGAUUUCGGCCUGGACAGGGUAAUGUUGGGCGCGGGCGCGUCGGCCCGGCAAUUCGGGAGUAAGCGGUCGAUGCACUCUUCGAUCAGCUUGCCAGAUCUGUCCUCGGUCGCCGGAGCUAGUCCUUCCGCCGCAAGCGGCUCCUCCUCCUCGGCACUCGCACCUCCGCCGUAUCAGGCGCCGGAGUCCCUGAAGAACCUGAAGCCCAGCGCCAAGUGGGACGUUUACUCGUUCGGGAUGGUGUUGCUGGAGCUGGUUGCCGGAAGAGUGUUCUCGGAGGUGGAGCUCUGUCACUGGAACGCAGGGCUUGUGGUGGAGGAGAGGAACAGGCUUCUGAGGAUGGCCGACGCGGCGAUAAGAGGGGAGGUGGAAGGCAAGGAGGAGGCUCUGCUGUGCUGCAUCAAGCUGGGGUUCGCUUGCUGUGCCAUGGCACCUCAGAGGCGGCCCUCCAUGAAGGAGGCAGUCCAAGUGCUGGACAACAUCUCUCCGCUUCCGCUUCCGCAUCCACAGUCUGCCAACGUUCUGCUGUCGAAUCAUAGCAAAUGCAAUCCGUGAUGCCAUUGACCUUUCGACUGCAACACACACUGAUUUGUUCCUCUUUGAUGUGUUCAAUAUAUGAGUCGUUCUUCUUGUUUUCCUUAGUGUGAGUUGACGACCAGCCUUCCGUUUUGGUUGUGACUAAAUGAUUAGAUUGUGGUCACUCUGCACUGCUUUGUAUCGAUUAGGCAGCGAAGUAGAACUCAGAGUUCUUCCAUGUUUCCCAGAUUCGAGUCUGCAUAGUUACUGCCAAAUGCAGAUACACCACCAUCUUGCUUCACCGUGAAAAGAGAAGCUCAAUUCCCAUUCUUUUUUAUAGAGAUAUAUGACAAACUUUAAGGACUCGAAUUAGAUUUCUUUGCUCUUUCUUUUCGUUUAAGAUCCGUAGUCAAGGGAAGAACAGCUGCUCAAAGUCAUCCAUGCAACAGAGGAAAGAGCAAAAGAAGACAUAAAGAGGAUGGAACUCUUUCCAAUGUCAACAAGCUUUCUCAAGGUACAGUAUACUGACUAGAGCACCGCAUCAGUGACCGCUCAGAGCAAAGAAGCUAAGCAUCGCCAUCAAGAGACAGAGAGCAGCAUUGGCAACAUUUGCAGGCUGGCCACUCGGAGGAUGUUGAGUCGUCGGUGAAGUGACCGGCGCCUUCUCGACGAGAUCUGCCACCGGGGGCAGCGGCGGAUCCACAACGUCAGCGACCUCCAGAACUGGCGCAGGGGCUUCCGCCGGAGGCGCCGCGUCUGGUGAUGCCAGCGACAGCAAAGUACCGGGCUCUGCUGGUAAGAUCGAGUACGGUAGGUUGGCAUUCAAGUCAGAGCAUGGGCUCUCUGCAACAUCAAAAGGGCAUAUCCCAAGCACCAAAUCUUAGAUUGCCAAGACAGCAGCAAGAUUUCUCCUUGUCAGCUAAAUCGAAGUAAAAGAAGAUACUCACUGAGGUAUGCAGCUGCCGUGGCUGGGAACUCGGUCACGACGCCGUCAACUCCGACACCUGCAACGUACGUAGCAAGCUCCACCAUCGGGUCGGAGAAGUAAUCAAACGCUAUGGUCAAGAACUCGUUCCUCAGCACCGAGACGUAAACCGAUAUGUUAGCUGCGUGCAUCUGGUCAACCACGUUGGUGAAGGCGGAGACGAAGAAGCCCGACGCGGCGACGAUGGACGAUCUAGGAAGGUUGACCGCGUCAGCGAACUGCUUGAUCUCCUCCACUGUUGGCUUUGGAGCGUCGCUUAUCGUCUCCUUGACGUGGAGCACUCGCUGGUAUCCAGAAUUCUUCUUGAAUGCAGAGAGGACCGCGGUGUCGUCGGACUGGAUGUACACUUGCUUGUCGUAACUGGCAUUCCUCAACGCGGUGGAGACUGCGUCUACCGCCCCAAGUCCUUUCUUCGAAGCAAGGUAAGCUGCGUUCUGCAGGAUCAAGAUGACGAUGAGUGAAUGGAUGACUCGAACAAUCCAGAUCUGUGCAGUAUUCCAAAAAGAUGACCACCUCUAUGUUGAUCAAGAUUCCAGAGACGGUGCUCUUCUUCGCAAACUGCAAGAAGUCAGCCAGCGUCAUGAACUUGCCCUCACUUUUCGCUGCAGGAUUUCUUGCCAAGCCGGACUGAGACAUGGGGCUCGUCAAUGCCGCUACAGGAAGAUAACCAAAACCAUGGGAUCGACAUUCUCGGAAUUAGAUUUCUAAUGGUGAACAGAGUAAGGUUGCUUACGCUUCAAGCUUUGGAUCUCGCUCCAUGUGAGAUCAAAGGAGAAGAUUCCAUUGUUUUGCUGUAUCUCGGGAACCAUUGCCGCUCGCGGCAUGAACGCAGCAGCUGCGGUUGUGUCGCCCAUAAGAUCUGCCGAAUCCAAGCAAAAGGCAACUCCAUCCUUUGACAUCUGAAUCGAACAGUCAAGAACAUCAGCUCCAUCUUCCACUGCUCGUUGAUACGCGACAUCAGUGCAUCCAGCAAACAUUCCACUCGCACCAUUGUGUGUUAUGAUUAGUGGUCUCCCUGCUGCAUCAAGAUCAAAACAAGUAAAUGACUAGAAUUCUGUGAUCGUAAAUUGCCUUAUAAUUAACUAUGUUUACCUUCGGUAGGGAUAGGUUUAUUCUCGUUAUGUGCCAAGCAAGCUGCAGCAUGCAAACGAGACAGAGAUAGUAAGCAGUCUACAUCGACGGAGAAGCCAUCGACGGACGAGGAGGAUAUUGGUUACCUACGGCUUCUGAGGCCGUGGAAGGGAAGUCGGUAAGCACGCCAUCGACAGAGAAGUUGGAGUUGCUAAUAAACUGCAGGUACUCCACGGUGGGAUCAUAGCUGUAGUUGUAGCUCGCAGGGGCAUCAUUGGCGAAGUCAUAAGCGUAGACUUCCAAACCCACACCAUGAGCAUCUGUGACCAAAGAAGUGUGAGCCUCCAGAUACUGGUCUUUGUUGACAGGCCAUAUGUAGCUUUUGGGCACGAGAAUCCCAGAGGCAAAUGACUUGAUGGUGACAAGAUCGUUUAGGAGAGCUUGGUAUGUUUUCUUCGUGGAGGGCUCGACAUCAUCCACUUCCAUGAACCGGAAGAUGAGCUUCGUCUUGUGUCUCCCCGGCAAUCCGCUCAGACUCUUCAGGAACCCUAUUUCUGGAGAAGAGAUGCAAUCUAUGAUCGUUUCCCUUGAUACUGAUCUAAUGUAGUCCACUGCGUCCAAGUCAUGUUCCUUGAAGAAGGUGCUGUACUGCAUGCAGCAGAUUGGAAAGGAGUUAAUGUCGGUAACGCACAAGUAGCUGAUGAAGAACCAGAAAUGCUGUUCAUCGAGAUCAUGUACCUGCACAUUUACCCAAAGCUGGUAAGGGUGAAGCCCCGCUACAUCUUCCACCAUGGAUACCGGCAGAUUGCCAUCGAACACGCUUGGUCGAGAAAAGAUACUUUGGAUCACUUCAAAGCAAGAGUGGAGAAGAAACAUUAGAUGAUCCAGUCAGAUGAAUAGAUGGUGCAGUGCUGCACUUGAAGAACUGGUGUACUCACAUGUGACGUUGUUAUAUAGUUGAUCCGAGGUGAAAUCAAUGGAGAACCAUCCUUGAACAGGCCGCCCAUUCACAGAAUAAGUAGUUCUUCCUUUUGGGAAGACAGCUGAGAUGGUUGUGGAAUUAUCGAGUCUCAGAUCCGAGUGGCAGAUGCCAGCCCCAUCUUUGGUUAAUUGGAGAUCACAGUACAAAACGACGUUCUUCAAGCUUGUUGACUGUGCAAACUGGUACGCAAAUUGGCUUGAUUCGGGGAAGAGUCCGGAGAAGCCACCGCGUGCUAUGACUGCAGGAGCAUUACCUGCGACAUGGACAGGAAGAAGAACACAUUCUUUACACCUUGCAGCCUCUUAGUAUGGCCUAUUACGACCCUGAGAUGGAAGGAAGCCAUGAUCGUACCGCUCAAGGUCUGCCAUUUCGUGGGAGAAACCACAGCUGCUGCAGCUCCAUGGAGAAGCACGAUAAACAGAAGCACAUUCAGCUUCAUUCCUCCAGUUCCAGAGACGAAGUCCUGCAACUCAUACAACAAGAUCGCUGUAGGACGAAACUUGCUUUGUUCAUGCAGAUAUGGCAUCGGUAAUAAAUAAUCCAGAAAACCAACCUUGGGACUCGAAGAUUCUUUUGGUGAGCACCCAAAAUGGAGGCAAGGUUUCCUGGCUCCCAGGAAACCCACCACCUCCAGGAAAACAGAGAGGAUGUUAGAACAACGAUCCUACUCGUGCAUCAGAACACAUCAACGAAUUUAUUUGUUGGAAUGUGUGAGGAAAAGAAAAGGUAAUGGACGAGCUUAAAUUUCUCCCCGUCUUUCCCUCUCUCUUCUCUUGGAAAGGCACUUGUCCUCUGUUAGGCAUCCGCCAUCCUAUAAGCUCUCGCCCUCGCUUUUUGUGGAAGGCGUGGUGGUUUGACCUGGUCAACAUCUUAUGCUGAUGAUGAUGCUAACCAUGUAACGGUAUCUCCGUUCAAAGGAUGACUCGACCAUGCCGUGUAGCAGAAUCAUUAUUAUUAUUAUUAUUAUUAUUAUUAUUAAAGAACACGUGGCAUGGUUAACGACCGAUAGAUCCACGAGCCCAAGAAACAGAAGAGCGUCGGCUCGAUCGCAUUCAAGUUGUAUAUAUAUCAUCUCGAAGCUUCGCGAUACCCAAACCGUUCCCUUGCUGUUCUUUUAGCUCUCCAUCAUCUCUCCUCACUCGGAGCCGUCGACGUCCUCCGCCCUGUCGUCUUUCACCCCAAACCUAAUCUCUGGGUGCCGCCGCUGGCGAUAAUCUCAAGAGGUUGGAUCUUGUUCCAUAUUUCUUCUGCCUCCGGUAAUCUGGUUAUCAGUUCUUAGGUAUAGUCUUCUUGGCCGGUAGGGUAACUACGGUGGUUUGUUCUGUCCUUUUCUCGUUCUUUGGUUAAGGCUAAUGUUCUUUCUUGCGACAUGAUGCAUCCGAAGGCAGUAUUUGAUUUCGUUUGUUUGGUCUUUUGCGAUGUCAAUCGUCUGGCUUCUGGUAGUCUUGAUCUUUCUAGCACCCAUGUUUUAAUGGACGCCUUAAGGAAAAUUUCUUGUAGGGUUUGUACUUGCAAGAAUCUUGAUCUUGAUGCUCAGAAGGGAUCCUCAAACUCUAAUUGCUAUUGUGUCUUCGCCAUAAGUCGUGUUUGGUUUCUUGAUGUGUGUAUAUGUACAUGCAUCACGAUAAAUGAUCCCUCCCUUUUACCCUAUUUUAAGGUUGAUAACUUUUGUAUAGUGUAUGGCAAAAGAAUUUAGAUCUUCAAGUUUGGAAUUGAAGUCUAUAAUACAUUUCUUGUUUUGCAUCUAUUUUUUUAUCACAUUAUACGAUUGGUUCACAGUUAGGCCUAUAUUGAUGGAUUUAAAAAUAUGCUCAAAUGUUUUGUGCGUAGUCAGUCUUUUGAAAAGACGAUUGACAUCUCAAGAGGUCGGAUCUUGUUCCAUAUUUCUUCUGCCUCUGGUAAUCUGGUUAUGGGUAGAGUCUUCUAGGCGGUAGGGUAACUGCGGUGGUUUGUUCUGUUCUUUUCUCGUUCUAUGGUUAAGGCUAAUGUUCUUUUUUGCGACAUGAUGCAUCCGAAGGCAGUAUUUGAUUUCGCUUGUUUGGUCCUUCGCGAUGUCAAUCGUCUUUGUCCUCUCGUAAUCUUGAUCUUUGUAGCCCACACGUUUUAGUGGACGCCUUAAGGAAAAUUUCUUGUAGGGUUUGUACUUGCAAGAAUCUUGAUCUUGAUGCUCAGAAGGGAUCCUCAAACUCUAAUUGCUGUUGUGUCUUUGCCAUAACUCAUGUUUGGUUUCUUGAUGUGUGUGUGUACAUGCAUCACGAUCAUUGAUCCUUCCCUUUUACCCUAUUUUAAGGUUGAUAAAUUUUGUAUAGUGUAUGGUAAAAGAACUCAGAUCUUCAAGUUUGGAACACAAGUCUAUAAUUGGUUCAUUGGCAUCUAAUUCUUAUCACAUUAUAUGAUCGGUUCAUUGGCAUGUGUAUGUGUUAAUAGUCACAGUUAGGGCUAUCAUGAUAGAUUUAAAAAUAUGCUCAAAUGUUUUGUGCGUAGUCAGUCUUUUGAAAAGACGAUUGACAUGUCAAGAGGUCAGAUAUUGUUCACUAUUUCUUUUCCCUCUGGUAAUCUGGUUUUGAGGUCUUGGGUAGCAUCUUCGUGAAACGUAGGGUAACCGGCGGUGGUGUGUUAUGUCCUUUUCUCGUUCUUACUUGAUUUCAGUUUAUUUGGGUCGUUCACGAUGUCAGUCGUCUUUUGUCCUCUGGUAAUCUUGAUCUUUCUAACCCCCACGUUUUAAUGGAUGACUUAAGGAAAAUUCUUGGCAAACACAUGUUUGCUUCAACGUAGGAUUUGUACUUGCAAGAAUCUUGAGCUUGAUGAUCAGAAGGGAUCCUCAAAUUCUAAUUGCUAUUGUGUCUUUUCCAGAAGUCUAUGUUUGGUUUCUUGAUGUCUGUGUAUAUAUGCACAUGCAUAUACACAUAUGGUGGUCACGAUCAUUAAUCCCUCCCUUUUACCUUAUUUUAAGGUUGAUAAAUUUUGUAUAGUGUAUAGUAUAAGGACUUCGAUGUUCGAGAUUGGAAUACAAGUCUAUAACACAUUUCUUGUUUUGCAUCUAAUUUUUAUCACAUUAUAUGAUUUGUUCAAUGACAUGUUCAUGUAUAGAUACCCUCAUAUAGGCCUAUAAUGAUGGAUAUAAAAAAAUAUGCUCACUUGAUUUGUGCACAGUCGGUCUCUUGUUCAAGGAAAAUAUUAUGGAAUAAUGGAAGUCCAGAAUCUUUUAGACCACAUAUUGAUACAGGAUGUUUUGGAUCUAUUGACUUUGGUCGUUUUGGAUAAAAUCAUAGAGUUAAUUAUUUUAUUGUGACUUGGUAGUUUAAUUCUACUUUGAGAUUUAAGCUCUUGGUUAUGCCACCCUGCAUGGGAAAUUUGUCUUUAUAAAAAUGUUUGCCUUCUUCUUCUAAGUGUAUGCCAUUUCUCUAAGUCUUUAAAAUACAAAAGCCAGAAAACUGAAAACGUAGAAAAUGCUUUCCAACAUUGAAUUAAUUUUAAGAAAAACAAAGUAAGAACAAUUAUAUACACUGAUAACUUUGUCAUUUAAGAUUUUGCAUGACUUUGAAUGAACCAGCGUACGGUUGGUACUGAUUGUAAUAGGAGUGUCUUGAUUUUGAUUCUUGAGGCUUCAACUGGUGGAAUGUAGACAAUUGUCUUCUGCAUAUAAAUUUCCCAUUCCACUUGUGAGACAUCCAAAAAAGUUGUUCUUGUAAAUUAAUUUUCAAAAGGACAAAUUCUAUGAAAUAUACAAUUACGUUGAUAUCUUUAACUGAACCCAUAUUAUAUGAUUAUAUAACUGCUGUAAUUUGUCCAUGCUGUAUAUGCAUUUAACUUACUAUUUUUUGUGUGAAGCCUUCAACUGGAAUAUAGACAAUGUCUUUGCACAUAAAUUUCCUAUCCUGCUUGUGAGACCUAUAUAUAAUGUUUUUUUGUAAGUUAAUUGCCAAAAUGGCAACUUCUAUGAAAUAAUCAAAAAAACAUAUUUUAUGCUUAUGUAACUGCUCUGUAAUUAAUUCUCAUUGUGUGAAGCCUUAUAAACUUAGCAAGUUUAGUACUCCGUAUGCAAUUAACAUACUAUAUUUGGCUCAUUGUUGCCUAAAAGUUGUGAUACUUUAUUUGUCUGUACUGGAUUGAGGAAAAUUAUUUACUGGCAGAAGCUUGUAUCAUUCUACCUUAUUUACAUAGAUAGUCAACAAGGGUUCCAUGUUGCCUUUCGCAUAGCCUCACCUCUGAGAUAGGUGAUUUGUUUUGAAAGUAUGGCUUGAUAUGUUUUGUUUGCCUCAAUGCAUGUAGGAACACCAUUGAUUUGUAUUAGUAACGGCAUUUAGCUUCUAUGUGAUGCUAGAGAAUUCAUCUACUUGGUGAAUAACAGUGAAAACAAAAUAAGAAGGCACAGGAUUUUUACAUUUUAAACUGGUUGAAUGGAGGCUGCUCUCCAACUUGCUAAGUUCUAUUAGAUAAUUUUUUUGUACAGAAAGACAUUAUGCAUUCGCAAUGAUUGUACUUAGUUAUUGCGUAGUUUCUGACCCUAUAAGUUUGGACAAGUGUAAAGAAGGGAGGGAGAACUGUAUAUCUUUUGAAUGCCCGGAAAAAUUAGACUUAAAAGACAAUUGGAGUUUGGAAACAUGUAGCACAAUUUGUUUUUUGUCCUAAUGAUUAUCAAAAUAGACAAAAGAAUAUAUUCAAGUCAAGCAUUCAUGUAUUGCGAUGACAUUGUUCAAUAGUGUUGAUUAUUAUGUUGACUGUUUUUGCUCAACACUCAACUAAUAAAAUAUUACUUGAGGAAAAAUAUUUGCUCAACACUCAGCUUUUGUAUAUAUUACACGAGGAAAAAUAUUAGCUCAAUAGAAUAGCAGCAUUACUGUAUGCUGCUAUCCACUCAAUAGAAUAGCUCAAUAGAAUAGUAGCAGCUUAAUAGAAUUGUACGUACGUUGGGGUUAAUCCCUAGGACACCACCAGAUUAAUUUUUAGUUAUCCCGUCGCCUUAGAAAAGUCUCUGGUGACUUUGUUCUAGGUGUUUUAUAGACAGCUCUAGGGCAGUACUUGUCUUUCCUCUUAUGCAUGUUUUGGUUUCAUAAAUCACUGACAUAUGGAAGAAUAGCAUUUCCACUUCUUUUCUUCUAUGUCAAAACCUAACUAGUAUUUUUUGGCUGACAUUUCGAGGGGAGGUGAGGGGGACGAGGGGAUUGGGCAGUGGCGGGGGAGGCAAGGGGAAAGGGUGAGAGAGGGGAGGGGGACAGGUAUAAUAUCCCUCACUUCUGAAAUUUAUUUAUAAAAUUUUUAAUGAUUAAACUGUUAAAUUAUAAAAAAAUUAAAAAUUAUGAUUUUAUCCCAUCACCUCUCUGUUUACUCGUGCGCAUCUCUGUUUCCUGCACGAGAAAACAGAGGAGGAGGUGUGCGGUGUCAGGGAGGAGAAGAAGGGAAAAAGAGGAGAAGAGAAGAAAAGAAGAAGAAGAGAGGGAAGAGGGAGAGGAGAGAGAGGUGCUGCAGGCCAGGGUAGACGGAGAGGAGAGAGAGGUGUCUGCAGCUAGGGCUGCAGCACCUCUGUUUCCCGCAAGAAGAAACAUAGGAGAGGAUAUGUGGGGAGGAGAAUGGAAGAAGAAGAAGAAGGUGGCUGCAACACCUUUGCAUCCCGCAGGAGGAAACAGAGGAGAGGAGACGUUGUGCGUCGGGGAGGAGAAGAAGAGAAGGGAAAGAAGAGGCUGCAGCUGCAGCAAUAGCAGCCGGAAGAGAAGGAGAGGAAGAAAAGAAUGUGAGGAAGAAGAGAGGAAGAGGAGCUGUGGUUGCGGCUAGGAAAGAAGAAGAAAAAGGAAAGAAGGUAGUUGCGAUUGCGGCAGUUGGGAAAGAAGAGAAGGAAAGGAAGAAGAAGAGAGAGAAGAGAGGGAAGAAGAGGAAGAGGGGAAGGUGGCUGCGGAGAGGAUAGGUGCUGAAAAUGAAACAGGGAGAGGAGACUGAAAAAGAAGAUAGGUGCUGAAAAUGAAACAGGGAGAGGAGAUGGAGGAAAAAGAAGAUAGGUGCAGAAAAUGAAAGAAGAUGGGGCUUACACCUUCGGAUCAAAAUCUUCGAAAGGCAAGUGUUCUGAUCUUUCAUAUUGCAAGUGUUCUGAUCUUUCAUAUUGAAAGUGUUUCGAUCUUUGCUCCUGCAAGUGUCCUAAACCUUUCUCUACUAUGAUUUUAUCUCUGCUUUUGUCUUGAAUAUGAAAACUUUGAAUUGUUCUAGUCUUGUAUUUGGUACAUCUCUUGUUUAAACGUAACGAUUUGAAUUUGAAAAUUUUUGAGAUUCUGACCCUUCCACCUUUGUAGCUAUAAAUCCCUGUAUAAAUUUUCAAUUUCAAUAAAACUAGUUUGAUAUGAAUAACCUUUCUUUUGAUAGCUUAUUUGAAGGAUUUUGAGUAAAUUUGUCUGUCCAAACUUCUGUUUCAAUUAACCUUAUAGAUUAUAUAAAACAAGGAUCAUAGCUUCUGACCUUUCGAUACUGAUAGGGCAUAUUUUGGUAAACAAGGAUUAUUUUGCUAUUCACGACCACAUCAGCAUUAGGGUCAUCACGUCGGAUUGCACCCCUCGGUCAAUGUCGAUUCCGCAAAGGUCGGACGAUGCAAAUCGAGUAUCAUGCCAUCCCGUAGGAGUCGGGAUAGCCGCGACCGAGUACAGCGUCGUCCCAUAAAGAUCGGAUCGGCGCUGACCAAGUAUAGCAUCGUUCCGCGAAGGUCGGGACGACGUCAACCGAGUACAACAUCGUUUUGUGAAGGUCGGGACGACGCCGACCAAGUAUGACGUCAGACAAUCAUAAAUAUGAUAGGUACGGUUGGUCCAACGAGGGAAGGAUAAAAACCCCUCGUGGGGGCGACAAUAGAGGUGGUUGAUUUUCCACUCAAUUCUAACAAGAUCUUCAGAGGGGUCAAAAUCGGGAGCCGCCUUCCCGACCCCGACCUGUGUGCAGGGUUCGUUGACAAAAAGGAGGCGGUCAGCCAAAGGGUGUUUCUCGACUUCGAAGCCAGAGCCCAAGCCUGACCUCACCAAAGCACGAUCGCCAUCAACUGAAUGCCGACGUGGACAAUCCUACGCAUUCGAGACUAAACCAAGCCAUGCUGACUCCAUCUCCCAUGGUGUGAGGGAUCCUUAUUAGAUACUAAAUUACCUAUAAGUCCCUAUAGGAAACUCUGAUUUGUUCAAAACUUAUUUCAUUAGAAAUCAGACUCAAUAGAUCCUUUUUUUGAUACCUAGAUCGAAAGAUUUGAAGUCCAAAUAUCUACCCAGUUUUCUAUUGAAAUAUCUUUAUAAUAUAUUUUCAAGUAAAUUGGAGCAUAAUUUUAAAUAAAUUGAAUUCUUGGAUGUUCUUGUUUUGCAUGUUUUUAUUUUCUUUUAAAUUUGAAUGCAUUUGUGAAAGGCACAUGUACGUUUCGUUAUACUGCAUGUGCCAAUUUAUUAUUUAUAAUGCCCUUUUGUACUCUGGUGUUUGUGGGAGUAUCUGGAUCUUUGUUAGAAAUGGUAAAAGGAUUAUGCCUAGAGCCUGCGAUGUUUUGUCGAUGGUCAUCUAGAAAUGGAUGAAUUAUAUUUUGUCUUUAAUCCCACUACACCUUCUAUAUGUGAAUGCAAAUAUGACGUUUAAACUUUUGUUUCGUAUUUGUUCUUUGAUAUGCUUCGAAAUAGUUCAUAUGUCGUUGAUAUGCUCUGAAAUAUUUCAUAUUCUAUUAAUAUGUUCUGAAAACACUCUGUGCUUCAUUUGUAUUCUGCCUUGCAUUAUGAUACCUAGUUUGUUUGAAACUAUCUCUUUUCAUUUUGGAUAUGUUUAAUCACUUACUGAGCGUUUUAACUCACUCUGUUGUUAUAUAAAUCUUUUAGGUCAACUUGUCGAGAUGUUUGUACAAGGUUGAGGUAGUGGAGAGCUAUUCAAAAUUCUGGGCAAACCUUAUUAUGUAAAAGUGUUAAAAGAUCUCUCUCGUUUAGAAUUUCGAAAUGUUAAGUUUAAUUUACGAUGAUAUGAACUUGAGAUAAAUAGUUGAAGUUCUGAUUGUAUAAACUAUACAGGUUUUAUGGAUGUGAAGUUGAUUGAAUGUUUCUCAAUGUCUCCAAAUGUUAGAGAGGAUGAGGGUAAGGGGAGGGGAGGCAAAUGAUUGUAUAAACUAUACAGGUUUUAUGGAUCUCAUUCCUUCUCACACUGACUCCUUCCGCUCUUUCCCCUAGUCGUUGUCCCUCUUCUUCUGUCCCCUUACCUCACUCCCUCCAUCCUUCUCCUCUCCCUUGCCCUCACUCCCUUCGUACCCCUCGCCUCACACCCCCACUCCUUCUCUCAUCGCCCACCCUCUCACCUUAACCCUGCUCCCUCCCCUAGCCUCUGUCCCUUUUCUUCCGUCCUCUCGCCUCGUUCCCCCNNNNNNNNNNNNNNNNNNNNAUGCCCCCCCACCCUCUGCCCCCACUCCCUAAAUCCCCCUAACCUCUCUCCCUCUCCCCCUAACCUUUAAAGAUUAAAAUGCACUUAUAGGUUCCAAAAGAGCCCAAAAUUCUUGUGCAUUUUUAUCUCCUUUUUACAUUCAAUCAAAACUACUCAUUAGUUGGGAUGGCCUUUCAAAUUAUAACAUCAUAAUCUCUAUCAUCAUAGUCUCUAUUAUGCCAAUGACACAAAAAAACUAAUAUGACUUCAGAAACACAUUUUGUCAUCAUAAUAUCACUUGGACCAAAAAUUCAUAUCAGGGUUCUCCAAAGAGCUGAAGAGCUUAAUGGGAUUGGAGAUUGAAGGCCUCAUCCCACCCUUCACCAUUUGUGCUACAAGCACAAAACAGAAAAUCUAACGAAAAAUUACCACUCCAAAACUCUCAGAGAAGCUAAUCUGUUACUUCACAUCUCUAAUGGUCAAGGAAUUCAUGGAGUUGGACAUGACAGGUUGGGUUUUCUUUAUCCACAACAUGCAAGCAUAUGGAGACAUAUGCAGGCAGUCAAAAGAAAGAAAAACGGUCAAAAAAAGAGAGGAAAAGCUAGAUAAGGUAAAAUGUGAUGAUAAGCUGUAACUGAAAAUUAUAGCUGUACUACCAGAUAACCUUCACACUUUAUAAUUUUGCAUGUCACAAGUAAAAUAAAGAUAUCAGUUUGAUGUACAGUUCGAUCAUUCCUGACACAUGUAACUAUUGGACAGAAACCUGUAUCAAUUCCAAAAUAAUCACCACAGGUACAUGAUCUAAUAAUUGGUUAUACAACAACAGUCAGGAAUGCAUAAAAUUGAUGCUUUGCCAACAGCACAUACAUCAUAUUAAUAAUCCAAAGAUUUAAUUGAUAAGACAAAAUUAUAUUUAGUUUAAUCAUCCAAAUUUCAGCACACAUUUUAAAUACUAUUGCUAUAAGAUAUAGAAUUUGCUAUUCAUUGCAUACAUAAUAGAAGAUAACAAACUAAAUCUUAAAAUAUAACUACUUAGUUGAGUGUCAAUCUAUUAUUUAAUUCAAGAUGUGCACUUCAAUUUUUUCAAGUUGCAUAAUUCAUCUACAAUGGAGUCUGUAUUGAUAAUUUCAGCAAAGAAGACUUAACUAACCUGAUUAACAUCGAAGGCAGAACCACAAACCAAUGAUUUAAUGCAAGAAUAUUUUACUAACUUGAGAAAGCACAGACAAAGAAGGCAGCACUUUGAUUGCAGACGAGCAAGAAAAGCAAAGCAUCUUAUUUGUAAGCCCUAGCAAAAAUAUAUUGAUGGAAGAAAAUUAGAUUUGCCAAUUGAAAUUCCUUUUUUUUUUUUCUUGGGGAGUUCACAAGUUUUCUUCUUUUUUUUUUAGGUAUACUUUAAGAGAUCACUUAUAGAAAGAAAUCAAAAUCCGGUUUUCCUUCAAUCAAGAAAUAGGAAGGGCUUCUUUAUCACAGUCAAGCGACCAUAGGAGCAUGGCCUCCCAUAUGCUGGCAAGAUUCCUUUCUACGUGAUCCUUUUUGACAGAAAGAAGUCAGAUGAGGAUAGGGACCCUCACUAGUUGAAGGUAGGGGUAUAAACAAGAUUAUAAUAGAGUUUUGGAAAGCCAAGACACUGACAGCCCUUGGUGCCACCGAAGAAAGCCAACCAGGGCCUGAAUGACUCGAUUUCAGCCACUAACAAGAAUUCUAGAAUCAAAUCCAUGGACAUCGAUCAAAAAUCCGUAGGAGAUCGAAAGCGGAGGCGAGAGAAAAGAAACGAAGAGCAUGACAAGAAGUCUAAGGUUCAUCUCCGUAGACAUCGAUAAAAAAUCAACAAGAGAUCCACCUGCGGCGGGUCAAGAAAAGAAAAGAGGGGAAUGACCAGGUCUAAGAAUUAUCUCCAUGGACAUCGAUGAAAAAUCAAUAGGAGAUCCACCAGCGGAAGGUAGGGAAAAGAAAAGAAAAGAAAAGAAGAGGGCCUGAAUGACUCGAAUUCAGCUUCUACCAAGAAUUCUAGAUCUAAUCAGUAAAGGUCUGGUUGCAUCCACAAGAAGUCCAAGAUUCAUCUCCAUGGACAUCGAUCAAAAAUCCAUAGGAGAUCGACCUGCGGAGGGGCAAGAAAAGAAAAGAAAAGAAGAGGGGAAUGACAAGAAGUCUAAGAUUCAUCUUCAUUGGCAUCGAUCAAAAAUCACUAGGAGAUCAACCUGCGGAGAGGAAAGAAAAGAAAAGAAAAGAAGAGGAGCAUGACUAGAUGUCUAAGAUUCAUCUCCAUAGUCAUCGAUCAAAAAUCAAUGGGAGAUACACCUGCGGAAGGAAAAGAAAAGAAAAGAACAGGGGAAAAACAAGAGAAUCUUGAAGUUUCCAUGGAGGUACUGAGGAACACCGGAGAUCGACCCUCUCCAUUAGAGAUCCAGAGGAGAAGAGUACAAAAGCUUCCACUCACAAGCGUCGCCAGGAGCUACAAAGCCGUGACAUCCAAGAACUAAAUCAACAUGAAUGUGCAGGGCAAACCUAUUAGGGUAUUAUCUAUACACGAACAAGAUCUAAUCCGUAAAGAUCUAUUAGCUUGCUCAAGAAUUUCAAGAUUCAUCAUCAUCGAAAUCCAAGAUUAAUCCGAGAAGAAAGGAAAAAGGCAAAAUACGAGGGAAACCUUCAGCUUCGGCGGAGGAACCCUUCGAUGGCGGUGGGUAACGUCCUCGCUUCAUCCGAUCGAUCGACUCCCUUCCGCUCUCUCCUCCUCUUCAAGAUCUAGUUGGAGUUUCCUCCCCCAAGAACUCGACAGCGAGCGAGAGAAGGAAUAACCAACUGGGGCAAGACGGUUUCUUGAAUUGGACCAAAACCCAUAUAAGUAGUAGUUGGGCCAAAACGGCCGGCCCGGGUCGGGUUUUAAUGACUAAUGGUUCGGGUUGGACGGAACCAAGAUGCGGUGGGCUGAGAAUUCCAAUCUGGUAAUUUAAAUAGAUUAAUAAUUAGCUCAUUUUUUUUUAUUCGGUAAACCGACAAUAAAUGGUGCCAUUUAUUGUCGAUAAAUGGCAAGUGGCAGAAUGACUCGGAUGUGGACAUUCUUGUGUGACGGUGACUUGGCGCGAGGAGCAUUAAUGAGAUGAGCUGGUUUGCGGAAGAAGCAGGGUGUUCCCCUGCCGACAUCGAUCGAUGUGCUCUCUUUACAUUUACAUGUGAGGGCAUGUUUGCCUACAGAACGCAGAGGGUGGCCGUGUAUACCCACCACGUUCCCCCGCAUUCCUACAAACAAUUCAUCUGCACAUCCACCUCCGUGCAUAAACACCAUGCUUGGCCGUCCUCGCAUCAAGGAAUUGCCCGCUCCAACCCACGCUAGUCUGUUGUCGAGCUCCGACAACCCCCCACAACCACUCUUAUGCCUUUUCCCGCACCCACACAAAGCGCUGCGUGGUGCCCGUUUCAUCCCCUCUACGCCACCAACAAACGUACGCCGGACUGAUAAAGAUGGGGCCAAAAGCAUCAGUAAGCAAAAGGUGAUGAGGGCGGUGGGCGUGACGGGUGCGUGAGGCACAAAGCGAAAAAUGAGAGGACGUAAGUUGCCACUCCAUCAGCGCGCCUGUCGAACACCUUUCGGGCAUCCUUUAGGAAUACAAAUCUCUCAAGCAACGAAGGCAAAGAUGCAAUGGUGCUCGUUGUUUGAAGAAACCACGGCAAGGCCGUCGAGACACGGCCAUCACGUCAUCCGCCGCGUCAUCACCAUCAUCCUCACUCGUACGCCGGUUUGGGAUCUCACCGGGGCGGAAUCCCGAAGCACGCAGACCACGUGGGACGCCAGAGAACGAACCUGCUGUUGGCGCUUCGGGAACGUGGGGAUUGACGGGGCCCACGUGGAGAACCAACCAAGAGCACGGACAAGUACAUGAUGGCGAGCCUCGUGAGCCCCACGUGACGGGGAUGGCCUGCCGCGGGCGCCGAACGCCAAGUUUCCGCUAACAUGGUGCGUUGUAUUAGGCACGGAUAACCCAAGUGUAAAGAUGGGGGGGCUGUGGGAGGGAAUCUAAGCUGCACCUUCGUAGUUCUUUCGCCUGCCAGCCAAGAAGCUAUAUUAUAGUCCAUCUGAAUUCAAUAAUGUGGAAGUGGUGGACACGAGGAUGGCACUGUCAGGGGGACCAGUGGCGAUGUCUUGGAAAAGCAAGCUUUGGGAUCUCGCUGCAGCUCUAAUCGGGGCAGGCCACCGUGACAGCUCAGAAGCAAACGAACAACGUAGGUAGAUUUUGACUUCAGAUGACGAUGCUACGUAAUGUGUAGUAAAAAACGAUAAGAAAAGGAUGGUGGUGCCCGAGACGGGGAGCAUGGUCCACCUAACUGCUUCCCUCCCACCACAUGACCGCUUUUUUGAAGUGCCCAAACGAUGCGUGGUGGCCCACCCUCACACGUGCGCCACGCUCCACAAGUGGGCUGCAGGUGCACGUGCUGCCCCAACCGUGCCCGUCGUUCUCUUUUCCCGGUCCUCAAAUAUCUAUUUCCGUUCACACGCGUUCGUGACGGGCGUUUCCCUACCCGCACCGUCCUCUUUCAAUCUCUCUCGUGGUCACGUUUCCCCGGUUGUCUCCUCGAACCGACCCAGUCGAAUUAAUUUGAACUGGUAGAAAGGAAGAGAAAUAGAUGCAUGUGGGCCGUGUGAUGCGGAGGCGAACGUAGUUGGUUCUUUGCACUGCUUCACAGCCGGGGAGGUCGGGCGGGCCAAAUCGCCAGCUGUGAGGGGGGGUACACGACGUACGAGUCACGGGAAAUGCCAUCGCAAUCCAAUAUCCAUUAAUGAACUACGACAGAUAGCAACCGACGCUGCCCUGCUCGUUCGUAUAAUAAUGAAGUAUUGAUAGGCUUACUUCCAACAUGUAUCUCCCCUUGCUAAUUCUUCUAGAUGGAGAAUUAUUACUAAAUUACUCUUUAAGUGGGGGGACACCGUGUUCAUUAUAUUAAAUAACAGACGUACGUAGAUAUAAUAAAGGCGUAAGGAAGGAGCGAGGAAGGUCGGUAACAGGUGGUUUAGAAAGGAAGAGGGAGGGAGGGAGGGGUGUCGGUGUGCAGUCAAAUCUAGAGAUAGAAAAAUGGCAGUCGGUUUUUUGGCAGUUUGGAGAGCUUUCGAGUGUGUACAGGAGAAGAAAAGGAGAGGGUGGGGGGCAGUUAAAGGCUGCAUCUGACAGCUUGACAGGCUGGCCUGAACGGAUACCAUAUCUUCCCAUCGGACGAUAUAAUUCACAACAGUAACAUCAUCCAUCAACGGCGUUACUGCGUACUGAGUCGAAACGGAAAGGGACGAGUGAUACACGCGGGCAGAACUCACAACGGCGUUGUCACGGAAGGAAGGCGCUGUGAACAAGAUGGCGUUUGAGGGCGUUACGAUUCUGAUUCGAUGGGUGUACAAUUACCGUCUGAAACAUGGUGGGAAUCGCAACGAGGCAUCAUUGUCCGCACCCGUUAUGCGAUUGGAGAUCGUACGGGCCCCACGCGGCAAGCCGCUGACAAGGCACACGGUUGGUAGUGUCGUCGAGCAGACAAAGGUGGUGCCGUGGAGCAGCUAACGGAGAUGCGUGGCCACCGCCAGCUGUAUGCAAACGAAACCUGUGGGAACCGGACGAGCUCGCCAAGCGAUACCUUAACCCGGUCACCGUCGACCCUCUAUAAAAUCCCGUCUGUCUUCUUCGUGCUGCUACUGCCAUAACUCUCGCUUCCUUCAUCAGCCUCUUCUUCCUCUGGGUUUGAACAUUUGCUCUAACGUAGCAAAAUAACGGUCGAAAUAUUUGUUUAUUUCCUACGGUGGCCUAUCCUUCCCUAUUUUUCUUUGUAUUGAUAUCCUCCGGGAUUUUCGUUGGAAUCGCUUGGGGGUUUGGAUCGAUCGGUUGGAGUUUUUGAGUUGGGGGAGAUUGGAUCCGAUGGCGGCGACGACGACGACGACGGGGGGAAGCAGGAGCAAGGAGGCUGAUAGGAUCAAGGGGCCGUGGAGCCCGGCGGAGGACGAGGCGCUGCAGAGGCUGGUGCAGCGGCAUGGCCCCAGGAACUGGUCGAUCAUCAGCAAGUCCAUUCCGGGGCGCUCCGGCAAGUCGUGCCGGCUGCGAUGGUGCAACCAGCUCUCGCCCCAGGUGGAGCACCGCCCCUUCACGGAUGAGGAGGACGAGAUCAUCGUCCGCGCCCACCGCCGCUUCGGCAACAAGUGGGCCACCAUCGCCCGCCUCCUCUCCGGGCGUACCGACAACGCCAUCAAGAACCACUGGAACUCUACACUCAAGCGCAAGCACAGCCGCCCCUGCGCCGGAGAAGACGGGCUGCAGCACCACUACGACGCGAUCAUGUCGGUCAAGGCAGCGGAUAUGGAGGACGAGGCGGAAGCGACGAGACCGCUGAAGAGGGCAAGCAGCGACGGCCUGAUCCUGUUGUCGCGAGGAUCAGGGAUUUGCUUCAGCCCCGGAAGCCCGUCCGGGUCCGAUGUCAGUGAUUCCAGUCACCAUAGCUAUCCGGUGAUGCCGCCGCCGCACAUCUAUCAGCCGGUUCCGACAACUGGCCGCAUCGUGCCAUGCUCCUCUCCGAUCCUCAAACAGACUCAGGGCGAGACAAUCAGUGCUGCCGUAGCCCCUACAUUUCCCAACAACGACGACGAUCCAGCUACUUCCCUCACCCUCUCCCUUCCUGGAUCAUGUCAGAUGUCCACCUCCAAGGAUCGCAAGGUCCAUACCAUCUUCAAACCCAGUCACCAGAGCCAGCUGUCGUGCUCUGUUGCUGCUGCAGAUCCGCAGCAGAUGAUACCGGGCUUUUCCUCUGCAGCCACUUCCGCCGAGGAGGGGCGUCGGCCAGCGCCUUCUCCUUUUAGCGCCGAAUUCCUGGCGAUCAUGCAAGAGAUGAUCCGCAACGAGGUGAGGAGCUACAUGGCGGGACUGCAGCAGAGCCGCAUGAUGUGCGGCGUGCAGCCGCCAUCGGAGAGGGCCCGCAACGCCGCCGCCGUGAACCCCAUCGGAGUGACAGAUCUCGAGUAGGAGACGUUUUGGUCGCCGAGGAUUAUUAGUGAGCAAAGGAAUCGAAGAACAUCUUCGUAAGGAGAGAAGGCGGCUCCCUUCUUUGUAGUUGAAACCUUUCCUUUGCCCUGCUCGAACUCCUUCCUAAAUUUGGUUGCCUUGCUAGUGGAAAAAGAAAUUGUAUAGGAGAAAGACCACAAUGUUAAAAACACAAAAAAAAAGAGCAGUUUUGUCAUUUUGAUUUCAUUUUACUCGUUCAAAAGGGAAAAGUUGUGUGUUGAUAACAGUUAAGCGAGUUCGCGACCUGCCGCAUUCUGCGAUGGUCAUCUACUGUCUUCAUCAUGCAGUAUAUUAACAAUAAUUACAUAUUAGCGGAACUUUUGAAUUGAGAAUCUGAUCGAUUUAUUUUGUCUUAAAAAUUAAGAUUUAAUUUUUCUAUAAAUAUCUAAGUUUUGACAAAGAAAAAAAAAGUAAAAUGUGAAUAUAUAUAUAUAUAUAUAUAUAUAUAUAUGUCUUAAUAAAUAAAUUAAAAAAGGUGAUGGUGAUUGAGCCACACGUGAUCAACGAAGAAUAGUGCCACAUCUCUAUGGGAUAAAAAGAAUUGAAUCACACAUAUGGGAGAUAACUUAAAAGUCGUAUUUUAGCGCUGAUCUAUGUCAGAUACGCAAACAUCAUUAGAUAAAAACAUGCUAGAUUUGAACUUUGCCAUAGAAGAAAUGAAAUCCUAUCCCUAUUAAGCGGUAUUACCAGCAAAAAGCUUAAAUGAUAGAUAAGAGUAGAUGUAGGCAGAUGAAGCAAUCAGUUUGGUAUUGACUGCGGAUGGACCGAUGCACCAGUGCGGUAUUAAUAGAAGACAGUGAUAUUGGCGCGGCUCAAUCUGAGAAGGGUUUACCAUCGUAUCAUAAGUAAAUCCAAUCAUCAGAUUCAACCUCACCAAUACCACUUCCUUCAUCCACCGAGUCACCAACACUACUGACUGCGAUCACAACCAAUGAAGAAAGCAGAAGAUACAUGCCACGAUUGGGCUCAGCUGCAGCUGGAGGAGGUAGGAGAGGCCUGUGAAUCAAGAGGGCUCGACCAUGGAAGGAGACGACAGAAGGUUGUGAAGCAAUAUGGAAGGAGAGGGGAGAGCGCAUGAAAUAGUGAGGGAGGUGUCUCGGGAUUCUUAAGAAGGAAGUGCGAGGGGAAUGAUGCGAGUUCACCCAAUUCAACGCAGGAAGAUGUGUGCACGCUUGAUGUAUCUUUCUUGCGCAUGCAUGCCCGCCUGCAACAUUCGACGUACUCCAUUCGUUCAACUCUUCUUCCAACGUAGAGGGACGAGUACCACCGCGUAGUACACAGAGUGAGUUAUCGUCUCUCAUUCUUUUCUUACGCUCACGACGGAGGACAACGGCGUCAAAGUGGUUCUGCCAUGACACCGACAACACGCGGGGACACCCGCCGUUGGGCUGCUCAACCUCGCUGCUGCUUCUCCCUUUCGACCGCGCAUCAUCAUUAACUGGUUCGUCUUCAACAGUCCAAGAUACUUGGUGGAGAGGAUGAGUGUGUCAGGCAAAAGGUGGGACUCCUCGAGUUCCUCCUCGCUCUCUCCUACACCAAAAGCUGAUGCACCACCUUGGCGUGAAAGCGAGUUAAGGGAUAAAGGUUUAGAAUCCCAUGUUUGCAAUCAUGGCACACACGACGACUAAGCUGUAGGAAUCGACCUGUUCUUGAGCUCAAAUCGUUGUUGAUAUUAAAUCAGUGCAAUAGAUCGAGAAGAACAGGGUGAAUAAGGAGGCAUCCAGAUACAUUGUUAUUAUUUCUCAGUGACCCAACACGAUCAGCUCCUGGUCGAAUACAUGGAACAUAUCCGGGCCGCCCUCAUCCGCGUUCGCAUCGUGGUUGGAAGCUAAGGCGUCGGCGGGCCUUGCCGUUGCUUGGCUCACUGGUACGUGGAAGUCUGUGCUCUUGAUGGUGAGUCCGUCCGCCCCCACCGCCACGACGUCGCCCGCGGCCGAUCUCAUCAGCAGCAUGCAUGCAAGUAUUGCGAGGAUAGCCAUCGCCCGGAGGGAGGCCAUCGUUGUCGUCGCGGGUGGUCGCCGGUUGACAACAAGAAGAAGAAAGGCCGUGAGAGGGAAGGGAGGGGACGAAGCCAUUUUAAUGAGAGAGGGAGGGAAGCAGACCGACGACGGUUUCGGCCAUUCGAGGAAACGGGUGGCUGCAGU
Molecule: long non-coding RNA, 54056 nt
Filed under: Musa acuminata (dwarf banana)
Lineage: Eukaryota; Viridiplantae; Streptophyta; Magnoliopsida; Zingiberales; Musaceae
Description: long non-coding RNA (MACU_LNC001813)
Source: RNAcentral